CGCCCAUGGUGAUUGAUUGUUCCGUAAUCAUAAACUAAUGUCGUGAUCCUAUCAGUUGGGGGUUCACUCGUUUCUAUGUUACUCAAUGAUAUUAACAUUGAAUCGGAUGUUGUUUGCAGCUUUGUUGGGGAGAGCAUGCAUGAUGAUGGCGGUUUGGUCUUUGCGUACUACAAGGAGGGCGCGACCGACCCAACAUUUAUCUACUUUGGUCAUGGUUUGAAGGAGGUCAAGUGCUAAGCAAUUGGCCGAGAGAGUUCCAAGCAGAAUGCAUGUUGUAAUCCUAGUCUAUAUUAUUGCUUUCUUUACUUUUUAUGUUUAGAAUUGGAGGAUGAGGAGUCUAUUUUUGCUUUGUUUCGUUAGAAUAUUGCGCGUUUGUUGACUUGGAUUUAUGCCUAUCUUGGUUUUAAUGGCUUUUCAACUUGGAUUUCUAAUUUAUGUGGUUCUAAAUUUUGAUUGCGAAAUAACAUUGUGUUCUACAUUUUACCGCCUUCAAGUCGCUUUCGUAUGCCGUCAAACAGUUGAAGGUGUGAAUAGUUGGAACUGGUAAUAGUUCUAGUUCAUCUUUCAAUUUCACCAACAAAUCUAAAUAUGUCCCCUUUUCUUCACGCAUUUUCCGGAGUUCUGGAGAGAGCCGCAAUCAAUAGGAUUUUCUUAAUCUUCCCUUCCCGAAAGAAAGAAUGUGAGAUUUCUUUCUUUUUUCUGCAGGAACCACAAGAUUGGAUCUAGCUGUAAGAAGAAUGUUUGGCUAAUGAAUGAGUACUGAGCUUGUUUGUCCUUGUCAAACCUGGGAUUUUACUGUAAUUUGAAUGCCUCCGGUAGUUUGGAAUAUUCCGAGGAUACGGUCCUCGGUUACAAAUAUACCAUCUAACGGUCCUUGUUUGCGAAUAGGUUUUUUUAGCCAAAAUAGUCAGAUUUGCAUAACACAUUACUUUGGUCUUUGAGAUUGAAAAUCAAUAUAAAUGGUUCUGAGAUUGUCCAUCAUCUAUUAUUUUGGUCAUUUCGUUAAAAACUCCAUUAAGUGUCCCGGAGCUCUUGGCCGAAAAUUUGGGCAAUUUUCAAAGCUUCGUAACUCAAUAGUUUCUUAAUCAAAUUCGGCCCAUAAUAUAUCAAAAUGAAGAUAGGAAAGUGUAGAACAAGAUUAUACCUAUUUGGAAGCCCAAUGGUUGCCGGAGAUGGCAGGAAAAUAGCCUAAAAGGUGACUGGUGGUCUGUGGAAAAACUGGAAAACUCGUCGGAAAUUGAACAAACUUUAAAUGUUCAUAACUUCCUCAAUGCUCAACGAAAUUGAGUGAUUCAAAAAUGAAAAUCGAGUGAUUCAAAAACGAAAAUCAUACUUCUUGACGAGACGAAGAGAAUGGUACCUUUUUUGACGACUAAUUCGCUGUGGUUUGGCCGGAAAAUGGCUCGAAAGUGGCUAACUAGAGACCAAGACAGCCACUUUCGAGCCAUUUUCCAGCCAAAUCACAGAGAUUUAGCCUUUGAGAAAUGUAUCAUUCUCUUCGUCUCGUCAAGAAGUAUGAUUUUCGUUUUUGAAUCACUCGAUUUCAUUGAUUAUUGAAGAAGUUAUGAACGUUUAAAGUUUACCUAGUUUCUGGCGAGUUUCCCAGUUUUCCCGCGGACGAGUCACCUUUCAGACUAUUUUUUGGCCAUCUCCGGCAACUAUUGGGCUUCCAAAUAGGUAUAAUAUUGUUCUACACUUUCCUAUCUUCAUUUUGAUAUAUUAUGAGUCGAAUUUAGUUUAAAAACAAUUGAGUUACGAAUAUUUGAAAAUUGCCCAAACUUUCGGUCAAAAGUUUCGGAACAUUUAACGGAAUGACCAAAAUAAUGGAUGACAAUCUGUGGACAAUCUCAGGGACCAAAGUGAUGUGUUAUGCAAAUCUCAGGGACCAUUUUGGCUAAAAAGCCUUACAAAUAUAGCAUCUGACUUUGGACUGAGAAACUCUAGCAUUAUGGUUAAUAAUAUUCAUCUCCAUCAAGAAUUUAUAGAUUUUAUGUUCGACUCUCUUGGAAAAUUCCCACUAUCGUUGCCUAGUGAUCUUCUUAUUUACUUGUGAGUAAACAAAUCUUAAGUUUGAAUGUCAUAAAUGAUAAGUUUGUAAUCAAUUUAUUCUCUCCACCCUCUUAAUGUAAAUACUAAAUAUAUUUUGUAUUUAAUUUAAUUUAAUUGCGUAAUGUUACCUCAUAGUGAUGUGCUUAGAUUUAUUUGUUAAAUCCGUUUGAGAACCGUAGUAGCAUGAAAUUAUGAAAAAUAUGUCAUGUUUUGGAUCACAGAAGUUGAUAUAGAUUGGGAAAGAAAAUCGCAUAUACAAAAUUCAAUAGUAGCCAAAUAGUUUAGUGCUUGACAAGUCUCUUCACCAUCAUCGAAGAGCAAUUUGCAUGGUGAGCACAAUAGUUGCUUACAUUUCUCAUAAUUAUCCUCCAAAUACAUAUUUGAAUUUUGUCACAUAUUAAUUAACAUAUUUUUUAUUCGAGAUUAUAGGAAUGCGAAGAUCAAUCGCACACAAGAACGUGAGUUUAUUACGACCAUUUUAGUUUUGUGGACUCUACAAAACAUGAAUGACUAAAUUAGCUCAUUGACAAGUGUAUACGAUUGUUCAUAACACGUGGAAUAGCUGGCUAACACGUGGAGUGGUUUCAAUAUGUCGGAUGGUGAUUGGUUGGUUGAUGUUUGGAUUUGUAGGCUUGGUGUGGUUUUAGACAUGUUUGAACAUUUUAAAGUUGCAUUGAUGAUGAGUCGGCCAAGGAUAAUAUGACGGUCGUGAUUCAAUUUUUGAUGCACUUUAGAAAAUACAUUGAAUUUUUAUUUAAAAAAUUACGCAUGCAUGUGAGCGUUACGGUAGUAUAGUGCGUUUCACGCAAUUGUUAUCAAAGUCAUGAUAUUAAAUGCGGGAAGAUAUUAUUCGCUUAACCGUUGACGUCUGUCUGUCAAUAUGUGAACAUUGUGUUGGCUUUAUUUGCAUCGUCGUGAAAUUUAUGUGACAAUUAAAGUUGUUGAUGCACAAAACAGGAGGUCUUGGAACAACGUAAAUUCGACCGUGAAUCUGCAUGAAAUGUAAAUAACACAGGAUGUAUUGUGGUUCACCCCAAGGUUUGGGCUACGUCCACACUGAUUAUAUAUUUAUUUGAGGGGUGAGGGAGAGAACCUCUGAAUAUGAGAGGGGAUGUGAGAGGGGUGAAAAGGCUUCAGAAAUGGUCUCCCCUAAUUGUGAGGGUGAGGGGUCCUUUUAUAGAAUAAGGACUCCUCACUCAUCACAUAUUUGCCCUUUCCUUUAUCACAUAAUUACAUUUAAGUCCCCCGAGUAUUUGUACGAGAUCUAAAUACGAGGCCUUAAAUAUGGUAUAAACAGUAAUCCCCCAAGUCUUCAGUCAAGAGAGUCUUUUGGUUUGAGACUUGAAAUUCAGUCCAUGUGUGGGCCGAAGUAACUAGAUGUUAUCUUGAACUGAUGCUCGAUAUGAGGCGGUACUCAAUCUGAAAUGAUGCUCAACUAAUCUGAAAUGAUGCUCAACUAGAAGUAGUACAUGCUGCGAGGCUGCUCGACUCGUGGCUUAUGUUGCUUUGGUUGGCUUGGCUUGUGGCGUUGAAGGUGAUGGAGUCCCUUUUAUAGAAUAUGGGCUCGCUCCUCAAUACAUAAGUGAUGGGUUAGGAGUGAUGCUCGCGGCGAGGCGGUUGCUCAGCUGGCGGCGUUGCUUUCUAACGAAGGUGAGGGAGUCCCUUUUAUAGAAUAAGGGCUCGCUCCUCAAUACAUAAGUGAUGGGCUAGGAGUGAUGCUUGCGGCGAUGCGGUUGCUCAGCUGGCGGCGUUGCUCUCUAAUGAAGGUGAGGGAGUCCCUUUUAUAAAAUAAGGGUUUGCUCCUCAGUACAUGAAUAAUGGGUGCUCUCUAAUGAAAGUGAGAGAGUCUCUUUUAUAGAAUAAGGGCUCACUCCUCAGUACAUGAAUAAUGGCCUAAGUCCCCUAAGUAAUUUUCAUGAGGCCCAAUAUAUGGUACAUGAUGUAGUCCCCCAAGUCUUCAGUCAAUAGAGUCUGUUGGCUGGAGACUUCAAAUUGAAUCUAUGUAUGGGCUGAAAUGGCGGUUGUUCGGAAGCGGUAUUUGUAUACCCUGUACUGAAGUUUUGUAGGUGAAGCUUUGCAAGUGAAGCUUUGAAGCUAGAGCUCUGUGAAUGAAGCUUUCGAAGCUGGAGCUUUUGAAGCUAGAGCUCUGUAAAUGAAGCUUUUGAAGCUAGAGCUCUGUAAAUGAAGCUUUUGAAGUUAGAUUGACAUGAGUAAUGCUCAUGAAUGUUUAUGUUGAUUGACAUGAGUGAUGCUCAUAGAUGUUGUCAUGAGUGAUGCUCAUGAAUGUUAACAUGAGUGAUGCUCAUGAAUGUUGACACGAAUGAUGGUUAUGAAUGUUUAUGUAUGAUUGUCAUGCGUGAUGCUCAUGAAUGUUUAUGUAUGAAUGACAUGAGUAAUGCUCAUGUAUAAUUUGGAGUAUUGGGCGUACUUUUGAUCACCUGGUUGGUGGCAUGAAGAAGAGUACAGGUUGUACAUUUCAUCACUUGGUUGGUGGUAAUAGCGGCAGGUUGCAGAAUAAUUUUGAAGUACUGGGCAUACUUCAGAUCACCUGGUUGGCGAUAAUAGCGGCAUGUUGCCGAAUAAUUGUGAAGUACUGGGCGUACUUUUGGUCACCUGGUUGGUGAUAAUAGAGGGUCUGGCUCUUUUUGGCAUAUGAGCCUUCGCCCUCCACACGACAUUGCAGCCUAUUAUUUUGGGCUUACCGUGUUUUUUUUAAUACCCUAUGAUGGGGUUUAUACAGAUAUCUCUAAAACAUAAGAAAAAUAAAUUACAUCAUUAAAAAAUAAUGGUUUCGACAGUUGCAGAUCGUUGGUGCGUACUGCGCCUACUGCGUACUGGGUUGCUUCUGUUGGUAGCGUUCGUUGGCUUGGAUGGUUUUUGAGAGACUGGGAGUAACAGCUGCUGUCAGAUCUGAAUUCGAAUGACCUGGCUUGUUGGCCCAUCAUCACCAUGGUUAUGGACUGCACCACCCCACUACGCAUCACAUUAAUAUUAUAUGUUUUUGCUUUUGUUUCCUUUUCCACCGCACAUCUCUCUUUUACUGCAUUUAUUAUUCUGUUGCUGAGGUCCAGGUGCAUUAGCCUUUGUAGAUGGCAGACAAAAGUAAAGUGAAGUUCUCUUUACUUUGCUUUACUUUGCAGAUUGCAGAUGACACUCAAGUUCUCUGUUUUUACUUUGUAGAUUGCAGAUGGCACUCUGGUUCCCUGCUUUUACUUUGUAGAUUGCAGAUGGCAUGUGAGGAAAGCCUCCCUUUUCUUUUCCUAGCGUUCCGUGGUCCACGAGUCCACAACAUGUGAUCUAUACGAAAAACACUUGAACAACAUCAGAGCUCGGCGAUAGGAGUCUCAAAGAUGGCUUGCUCAGCUUUCUGCACCUCCUUCUCGAUCUUCCUUCCCUUAUUGGAUUUGUAGUACACACUCAUGAAUGUUCCCAAAGCUUGAGUCCUCUCAGCCUGUUCUUUCAAAAGCUGCUCGUUACCUACCAAGAAGAACAAAAAUGCACCAACCCCGUAACCAGUUGCGAUGUUUGACUCCUAGACACAAUAGUUAUAAUUUAACCCAGUGUCUUGAACGACAUUCGCAGAGCUUCUCUUCUGCUCAGUCACUCUCCAGACAUCUCAUCUCUCUCUAUCUCUCUCACUGAGUUGCCACUAGCUACACCAAAUCGCAGCCAAACGACGACACCCACGAAUUCGAAUGAGAAAAGUCAAGCAAAAAAGAUCGAGAAUUUCCUUUCACUGUUAGGAAACGAUUCAAGAAUUCAAUUCUCCAGCGUUGUAGUGCAAAAGCUCGUGGCUAGAUUUUCCCGAGAAAAAAAGAGGGAAAGAUUUUGCCGAGAAAAUUUAGGCAGUGUGCUGUCGAUUGAGCAGGAACGCGGAGACCCCUACCGAUAGAUGGUUGUUCAGAUGGAACAACUUCUUAGAACUAGCCGUGAAUGCCAGCGCGUGCCAAUCUCGAGUUCCCUAUCCAUUUCUCUAGUGCGAGCAGCAGCUGAGCAAACAAUCGUGUCGAAGCGGCAGGAGAUGGCGUACUGACGGUCGAGGUGUUCAAAAGGGAAACUGCUCGAAUCCGUCUUUGGCGUUCCGCCACGCGUCCUUCCCGAAGCUUCCGAUGUCGCUACGCUGGAACGCCUGGAUGUUCGGCACCUGGCAGUGGCGGUGAUGGUAAUAGCCUUCUGAGGAUUGAGAUCAUGGGUCGCGCUUCUUGCGAUUGAGAUUGUAGCGGUGCCAUUCUGACUUGUAAUGGAGCUUCUGCUCUGAGUCGUCCAGAAACUCCUUGUUGCAAGAGUUGCAUGUUAGCCCUCACAUUUUCUCUCUCUCUAGCUUUCUCUGAGUCUGUGCUACUUUAAUCUAUUGUUCACCGACUUGUAAAACUUUGUUAAUGAAAGCAAAAGAUUUUCUUAUAUAACACUCUGCAGAGGGCACAGAGAGAUAGAGAUAUGAGUGAUUGUGUUUCCAUUGCUGCCGCCGUGAUCAGGAGCUGAAGCGGGAAACAUGGGUUUUGCAGUGAUUGUGCAGAUUCACGGUGGAGGUGAAAAAAUGAAAAAAAAAUCGACACAACUUUUCGUAUCGUUUCCCACAGACGGCGCCAAAUGUUGAUGCACAAAACCGAAGGUCUUAGUACAACGUAAAUCCGACCGUGAAUCUGCAUGAAAUGUAAAUAACACAAGAUGUAUCGUGGUUCACCCCAAGGUUUGGGCUACGUCCACACUGAUUAUGUAUUUAUCUGAAUGAGAGAGAGCUCUAAGAGUGAGAGCUUUGAGAGAGGAUGAGAGGGCCUAGGAAUUGGCCUCUUCUAAUUGUGAGGGUAAGGGGUCCUUUUAUAGAAUAAAGACUUCUCACUUAUUACAUAUUUGACCUUCCUUUAUCACAUAAUUACAUUUAAGUCUCCCGAGUAUUUGUACGAGAUCUAAAUACGAGGCCCUAAAUAUGGUAUAAACAGUAGUCUCCCAAGUCUUCAGUCAAAAGAGUAUUUUAGCUGGAGACUUGAAAUUCAGUCCAUGUGUGGGCCAAAGUAACUAGAUGUUGUCUUGAACUGAUGCUCGAUAUGAGGCGAUGCUCAAUUUGAAAUGAUGCUCAACUAGAAGUAGCACAUGCUGCGAGGCUGCGAGGCUCGUGGCUUAUGUUGCCUUGGUUGGCUCGGCUUGUGACGUUGAAGGUAAGGGAAUCCCUUUUAUAAAAUAAGGGCUCGCUCCUUAAUACAUGAACGAUGGGUUAGAGUUGAUACUCUCUAAUGAUGGUGAGGGAGUCCCUUUUAUAGAAUAAGGGCUCACUCCUCAAUACAUAAAUAUGGGCUAGAGUUGAUGCUCUCUAAUAGUGGUGAGGGAGUCCCUUUAUAGAAUAAGGGCUCGCUCCUCAAUACAUAAAUAUGAGCUAGAGUUGAUGCUCUCUAAUGGUGGUGAGGGAGUCCCUUUUAUAGAAUAAUGGAUCGCUCCUCAAUACAUGAAUGAUGGGCUAGAGUCCCCCAAGUAUUUUUCAUGAGGCCCAGUGGAGGCCCAAUAUAUGGUAUAUAAUGUAGUCUCCCAAGUUUUCGGUCAAUAGAGUGUUGGCUGGAAACUUCAAAUUGAAUCCAUGUAUGGGCCGAAAUGGCGGUUGUUCGGAGGUGGUAUUUGUAUACCCUGCACUGAAGCUUUGUAGGUAAAGCUUUGCAAGUGAAGCUUUGAAGCUAGAGCUCUGUAAAUGAAGCUUUUGAAGCUAGAGCUUUGUAAAUGAAGCUUUUGAAGCUAGAGCUCUCUAAAUAAAGCUUUUGAAGCUAGAACUUUUGUAAAUGAAGAUUUUGAAGCUGAUUGACAUGAGUGAUGCUCAUGGAUGUUGACAUGAGUGAUGCUCAUGAAUGUUGACAUGAGUGAUGCUCAUGAAUGUUUAUGUAUAAAUGACAUGAGUAAUGCUCAUGUAUAAUUUGGAGUACUGGGCGUACUUUUGAUCACCUGGUUGGUGGCAUGAAGGAGAGUACGGGUUGUACAUUUCAUCACCUGGUUGGUGGCAUGAAUGGCUAGUUGCCAAAUGAUAUUAGAGUACGGGUUGUAUAUUUCAUCACCUGGUUAGUGGUAAUAGCGGCGGGUUGCUGAAUAAUUUUGGAGUACUGAGCGUACUUUUGAUCACCUAGUUGGUGGUAAUAGCGGCGGGUUGCCGAAUAAUUUUGGAGUACUGGGCGUACUUUUGAUCACCUGGUUGGUGGUAAUAGCGGCGGGUUGCCGAAUAAUUUUGGAGUACUGGGUGUACUUUUAAUCACCUGGUUGGCGAUAAUAGCGGCGGAGUGCCGAAUAAUUUUUUGUAGUACUUAGCGUACGUUUGGUCACCUGGUUGGUGAUAUUUUGGGCUUAUAGGCCUUCGCCCUCCACACAACAUUCCAGCCAAUUUAUUUUGGGCUUGCCGUUUUUUUUUACCCUCUGAUGGGGUUUAUACAGAUGUCUCCGAAAAAUAAGAAAAAUAAAUUACAUCAUUCAAAACAAAGGUUUUGACAGUUGCAGAUCGUUGGUGCGUACUGCACCUACUGCGUACUGGGUUAUUGCAGAUCUUUUUCCAUGUGCAUAUUCCAGUGGCUUCUUCAGAAAAGUGGGAACAUGCAUGAUGAAAGUUUUAUUUUUCAAAAGUUGAUGGCAUCUUCUGAUGGCUUGCCUUUACCGCACCCAUUUUUUCCGGGAAGUUCAUCCAUAAACCUGUGCAGCCUAGUCAUGAUAUCUCUUUAUCCUCCUCAUUUUUCUUUUUCUAUUCUUUUCCUCCCCUUUUCUUUUUCUAACAUUAUGAUUGAUUCCAACCCAUAGGCUUGCCAGGCGACAGUGAGCACAAUCAUAACCGAAAACAGCCACUGAAUGACACUAUUCUGUCUCUAUACCUUUUUCUUUUCAUUUCUUCCCUUUUCCCUUUUCUGAAAUAUUCUCUCAACAACUAGUACAUCAUACAUUUAGCCCAUCUUCCUUUUUCUUUUUCUAACAUCAUGAUUGAUUCCAAACUUUCAAUUCUUUUCCAAUGGAUUGUUGUCGGAGACGACACAUUUCCAAGCAAUUUCUCAUCGCCCUCACAGCAAUGGAUGAACCUCUACUUUCAUCAGGGAGAAGCAGCAAAUUGGGAGAGAAGGGGAGUGAGAAAUGGAGCUCGUACGAGUACGUGGGAAGAGCUGGGUCGGUGAUUCCGAUAGCGGCGCUAGUUGGGACUGAUGAUUCUGAUCGAGAGGCGGCUGCUGAUUGCUACCCGUCUUCUAUCCAUGUUGGUCUGGUUAGUGGUAUGAACACUGCGAGUUUCCGCCUUCAUCAAUACGUCCUUCAGAUUGGGGGGGCGAGGUGAUGCGAGCCUCUAUCAACGAACGCGACCCAUGAUUCACAAAAGUUGAAAUGGGGUCUCGACCCAUGAGCAGGUAAUAAGGUCUUAACCCAGAAGCUGAAAUGGGGUCUCGACCCAGGAGCAACAAUCAGAAAUAUGGUCAACCCCAAUUAUCUUACAUAUGGUCCAAAAACGAUCCUCCCCUGAAGGAAAAAAAUAUAUAUAUUGCUGCCCUUCCAAUUCUGGUGUGCUCGAUCUCCCACUGCUCCGGUUCAAACCACUGGGUUCAUCAUCCUUGACUUCCCACUGGGUGUAAUCAGGGGUUAGGUGCAAGGACAACAGCUGGAUGCGACGGCUGACGGCUUGGGAUUCGUCCUCCACCGUUGGAUCUGGGCUUUGCCUCUUCUUUUGAUUGAUCUCGUAGACACAGAUUAGGAAGAGGUUAGGUGGUUUCAUGGGGAAGAAAGAUUUGAACAAUUGGAAUUGGGAUGAUCUUCUGGUUAGACUGUUUUUUGUACGGACGCGACCCAUGAUGGUGGAUUUGCGCGGAAGAGAUGGCAGGCGACGGCGUUGGUAUAUGCGUCUAUGCAUGAUGAGAGGGUUCAUCAUCCUUGAUUGGGAAUGGUGUGAUGACGAGCUUGUUGUCAGUUUUGGACCCCGAAUGAAAGUCGGAGCUUCAAGACGAAAUCUGCGUCUUUAUCCACUAAAACACUUGUACCCAUCUGGCGACGCUGUCUGUGCCACCUCGUCGUUGAGUGGAAGCGGGAAGGUAUGCACUUGUUGUGCUCUUCACCGGGAAGAGGUCGUUUUGGGCUCUGAUUCGAGGGCCGUAAGCGCGCUGCACUUUGAACGGCGAGACGGAGAAGACGACGACGACGGCCGUACUAGAACGGCAGACGGGCGUGUCGAUGAUUGAGCAACUGGUUCCGGAGAUUACAACGCAUGCCCUUAGCUAUCUGGACUACCCGAGCCUAUAUAAGCUUUCGAUGACCAAUUCGCUUACGUGGAAGGUCGCCAAUGACGAUAAUGCUUGGAUGGCACUUUACCAUAAAGUAUGUGAUUACUGAAUUUGAAUUGCAUUUGAAGUAUUUGAAUUUGGGUGUUUGUUGGAUUUUGAUUUUUGGUUUUUGCAGAUUCACGGUGGAGGUGAAAAAAUGAAAGGAAACUGACACAACUUUUCGUAUCGUUUCCCACAGAUGGCGCCAAAUGUUGAUGCACAAAACCAGAGGUCUUGGAACAACGUAAAUCCGACCGUGAAUCUGCAUGAAAUGUAAAUAACACAAGAUGUAUCGUGGUUCAUCCCAAGGUUUGGGCUACGUCCACAGUGAUUAUGUAUUUAUUUGAGGGGUGAGGGAGAGAACCUCUGAAUAUGAAAGGGGAUGUGAGAGAGGUGAGAAGGCUUCAGAAAUGGUCUCCCCUAAUUGUGAGGGUGAGGGGUCCUUUUAUAGAAUAAGGACUCCUCACUCAUUACAUAUUUGCCCCUUGCUUAAUCACAUAAUUACAUUUAAGUCCCCCGAGUAUUUGUACGAGAUCUAAAUACGAGACCCUAAAUAUGGUAUAAACAAAAGUCGUAUAAUGGAAUUUCCUUGUUUGUCUUGCGCAAUUGAAAAAGGAUAAGGAAUUUGGUUGUAAAAAAUUUAAAAUUAUAAUUGCGGUCAAUUUUCGUUGUUGAUAUUCAAUUUCAACAAAGGCGCGACUGAAUGACUUGAAUAACCUCAAAAGAAAAAAAAGGAAGAACAUGUAACAAUUUUGACACAACCUAACCCAAAUUACACGCAUACAUUUGCGUGAAAAGUUAAGCAAAUCUCAACACUUGAGCGACUGAGUACUUAAGGCUGAAUUAACUCUAACAAGGAAGUAAAUAAGGAUAAAAGAAAAAUAUAAGGACAAACAUGAUAUAUUUAGGAAAUGGUUGAGAACCCCUGUAUGUAGAUAAAUGUGCAAACUAUUCCAAAAAAAAAAGAAAGAUUUUUGUUCAAAUUAGUAGAUAAUGCUCCUUAACAAAAAAAAAAAGUAGAUAAUGUCCUAAUUAAAUUUGAAUUAAUUGGGCCCGGUUUUAUUACAAUUCAACAGGCCUUUUUAGGCCCAAAUGAAGAGUAGAAACUCCUAACAAAACUACAACUAGUCCGACCCAACCAUCCAAAAAACCUCGUUCUACUCGGACUUGGAAACGAAUAUCACCAAUGGCUUAGAAGAAAUUUUACAGAAACGCGAGUACAUUCCCGUAAUUUCCCAGUUGCCCACCAUCCUGCCAUCUCCGUGUUCUUCCCAAACCCUCGCCUCACCUAUAUAUAUCGGUUACCAGGGAAUUCUCAAACCCUCACUCCUUUGCUGCGUCGCUCUCUGCGCUCCUCCCAAAUCCUAAUCUUUGUUGUUGGAGCGAUCCGAGCCGCAAUUAUGUUGGUUUACCAAGACCUCCUCACCGGUAAAAGUUUUUUCCCUAAUCUUGUCCCGCUUAUGUUCAAAUUAGGGUUUCGAUUCGUUAGUUCUAAUCUAUGUGAAAAAAAAAAUCGAAUUGGAUCUCGGUUUAAUCUCCAAAUUUUAGGUUAUGGUACGGAUCGGGCGCCAAAUUGUUGCUUUCCCGCCGUGUAAAUUGUUUUGCAGAUCCUUCGAUUUAUUGCUGCGCUAAUUGUUUUGAUUUAUUUAGUGGUGAUUGUGUGCAUGUAAUUUGUUUGUGGGUGCUUUUGCAUGUUGUUUAUAAUUUAUGAAGCCACUGGAUUUCAUCUGAAUGAUUACAAAAAAUCUAAUUUAUAUUGUGAUUUAUGGUUAUCGAACUCUUUCUGUAUUUAUUUUAUGUAAUUUGGUACUGGGUACGCAUAUUAAUUAUAUUGUGCGAAGCUUUGGAAUUUUAUGUUAGACUUGCUAAUUUAUAAUUUUGAUAUGUUGUUGGAAUGGUCGUGUAAUUAGAAAAUAUUGGGAUUGGAUAUAUCUUUGGAUAUGGUGGAUAUUGUGACGCAAUUUUUAAACUUAUUGUGUAAACUACUUGAACAGUUGUACUUUGUAAAGUUUAUAGAUUUGUUUAUGAUGUCUGCUGGAUCUUUUUUUUCUUUUUUUGUUAUAUGAUGUUCUUUUUUUCUUUAACUAAUAUAUUUAGUUGAAGUUCUUUUAUCAAGUUGUUGACCAAAUUCAUGCUUCUAUUAUAGGCGAUGAGCUUCUCUCGGACUCGUUUCCAUACAGGGAAAUCCACAAUGGAGUGCUCUGGGAGGUUGAUGGCAAGGUGAGUUGGUUGAUUCUUUGGUUUUAUUUAUUUUCGUUCCCCUCUUGUUGAACUGUCUUUGUAAUUUUAUUAUUAGUUUAACCACUCAUUAGAAAUAUUUAGCUGUGUUUGCAAUGUAAUUUGAAGGUUGAAUGUAUAAGUUUAAGCUUUUUCCUGAUGGGUGUAGUCAAGGUGGUUGUUAUUGAACUUUGUGGUUAUAGGUUUAUUCUGAUAUGGAUCACCUGUAUAAGGUUAAUAUGUUGAUUGUUAUGAAUUGCGUAGUUGAUUUACUGUAAGUUGUUUGAAUGAUUUUUGGUUUGCAGUGGGUUGUUCAAGGAGCUGUUGAUGUAGACAUUGGUGCAAAUCCAUCUGCUGAAGGUGGAGGUGAGGAUGAGGGUGUUGAUGAUCAAGCCGUCAAGGUUGUUGACAUUGUUGACACAUUUAGACUUCAGGUAUGUGGUGCUUACUGUACUGUUGCUCUCCAAGGUUCUUUGUGAGUAGAAAUUGAUUGUUAUUGUCUGAUGCUUGCAGGAGCAACCUCCAUACGACAAAAAGCAGUUUGUCACAUGGGUGAAGAGGUAUAUCAAACUGUUGACACCCAAGUUGGAGGGGGAGGGCCAAGAGGUGUUCAAGAAGAACAUUGAGGCAGCAACCAAGUUUCUGCUUGGGAAGCUCAGCGACCUCCAAUUGUAAGUUUUGUUGAUACUGCGCCCAUGGUGAUUGAUUGUUCCGUAAUCAUAAACUAAUGUCAUGAUCCUAUCAGUUGGGGUUCACUCGUUUCUAUGUUACUCAAAUGAUAUUAACAUUGAAUCGGAUGUUGUUUGCAGCUUUGUUGGGGAGCAUGCAUGAUGAUGGCGGUUUGGUCUUUGCGUACUACAAGGAGGGCGCGACCGACCCAACAUUUAUCUACUUUGGUCAUGGGUUGAAGGAGGUCAAGUGCUAAGCAAUUGGCCGAGAGAGCUCCAAGCAGAAUGCAUGUUGUAAUCCUAGUCUAUAUUAUUGCUUUCUUUACUUUUUAUGUUUAAAAUUGGGGGAUGAGGAGUCUAUUUUUGCUUUGUUUCGUUAGAAUAUUGGCUUUAUGCCUAUCUUGGUUUUAAUGGCUUUUCAACUUGGAUUUCUAAUUUAUGUGGUUCUAAAUUUUGAUUGCGAAAUAACAUUGUGUUCUACAUUUUACCACCUGCAAGUCACUUGCUUUCGUACGCCGUCAAACGGUUGAAGGUGUGAAUUGUUGGAACUGGUAAUAGUUCUAGUUCAUCUUUCAAUUUCACCAUCAAAUCUUUAUAUGUCCCCUUUUCUUCACGCAUUUUCCGGAGGUCUGGAGAGAGCCGCAAUCAUUAGGAUUUUUCUAAUCUUCUUGUGAAAUUUCAUUUUUCCGCGGGAACCACAAGAUUCGAUUUAGCUGUAAGAAGAAUGCUCGGCGAAUGGAUGAGUACUGAGUUUCUUUGUCCUUGUCAAACCUGGGAUUUUACUGUAAUUUGAAUGCCUCCGGUAGUUUGGAAUAUUCCGAGGAUAAUCGGUCCUUGUUUACAAAUAGACCAUCUGACUUUGGACUGAGAAACUUUAGCAUUAUGGUUAAUAAUAUGAAGUUUUAACAAAACACUUCCGUAUUGUUCGCUUUUAACGAAAAAUCACAUUUUUACCUUUUCCUAAUACUAUUCACUACACUUUUAUUUGUCAUUUUUCCAUUAAAACUGAAGUUUUUUUUAGACUUUUCGUUAGUUUUCCUUUAAUAAUAAUAUUCAUCUCCAUUAAGAAUGAACAUGAAUCCUUUCCGGACCCCAAUAUCCUAAACCUAAGAAUCAAAUCAUCCGGGUUGUUGAAAUUUGAUUCAACGGCUACAAACAGGGGAUUCCUCUAAAGUUAUAAUAAUUGUAGCCAUUAGAUCAAAUUUUAACGGUCUGGAUUAAAUGAUCCCUAGGCUUAGGAUAUUGAGAUCCAGUGAGGAUCCGGGUUCAUUAGGAAUUUAUAGAUUUUAUGUUCGACUCUCAUGGAAAAUUCCCACUAUCGUUACCUAGUGAUAUUCUUAUUUACUAUUGAGUAAAAAAAUCUUAAGUUUGAAUGUCGUAAAUGACAAGUUCGUAAUCAAUUUAUUCUCUCCACCUCUUAGUGUAAAUACUAAAUAUAUUUUUGUAUUUUUGCAUUUAUUUGUUUUGCUUAAUGUUGCCUCAGAGGGAUGUGCUUAGAUCUAUUUGUUAAAACUUAAAUCCGUUUGAGAACCGUAGUAGCAUGAAAUUAUGAACAAGGUGCCAUGUUUUAGUCGGUCAAUUUUCGAUGGUUGGAUCACAGAAGUUGAUAUAGAUUGGGAAAGAAAAUCGUAUAUACAAAAUUCAAUAGUAGCCAAAUAGUAUAGUGCUUGACAGGUCUCUCUCUUCACCAUCAUCAGGGAAACAGUUUGCAUGGUGAGUACAAUAGUUGCUUAUACUUUUCAAAACCGUCCUGCAAAUACAUAUUUAAAUUGUGUCACAUAUUAACUAACACAUUUUUUAUACGAGAUUCGAGGAGUGUUAAGAUCAGUCACGCACACGAAGGUGAGUUGAUUACGACCAUUUUAGUUUUGUGGACUCUACAAAACAUGAAUGACUAUAUUAGCUCAUUGACACGUGUAUAAUUGAUCAUAACAUUUCCUAGAACCUGCAUUAAUUAGAUUCAAUUUUGCUAAUUAAUUAUAUCCUCGCUAAUUAGUUUUGAAUAACAAACAACAAGAAGAAGCUUAACUAAUUGAUGUAGGUUUAGGAGGUGGUGUUUGAGGUUAAUUUAGUUGGAGUGCUUGGGGUGGUAACGGUUGGAGAGGAUAGUAGCGUGCUAGUGCUUAAUGCCGGUCGUAUAUAUGCAAUGGAUGCAGUCGAGUCAAGUGGUAAUAUUAUUCGGAGUAAGAUUCAUUCCCUUCUUUUUUUACUUCCUCUUCCUUCUUCUCCUAUUUGAACGGUCACGGUUAAGCCACGUUAACAUCUUAUAUUAAUUUUUUAUAAAAAGAGAAAGACAAAAUAGAGAAUGUGAAAGGAGGGGAUAGAAAGAGGAGGGGAGAGAAUCAUAGUCCAUAUUAUUCAUCCUACAUUUUUGGCAGCUGCUUGGGUUUUAAAAUUAAAAGAUGACGCCUAGACCUGCUUUGUCACCCCUAGCCCAUCUAGGCGCGUAGGAGCUAGGGUCAAACCCGCUGCCUGACUAGCACCUAGUGUCUUUUAGAACUUUGAACGUUGACUAGCUUUGUCCAACUCCAUUUACAUGCACAUCAACUAAACUUAUCCAAAAACUCAAAUGAAAGUUUUAUAGCUCAAGCUGUUAAAAAUAUUUAUCUACGUAGUUAAAGGUCUUAAGCUCAACUUGCUCCUCCCUAUCACCGCUUACACAAAAAGAAAUCAAAUAAAAAUAACAAGAAAAUGUAUUUUUCUGCUCAGCUUUCUGUAGGUAGCAACUUGAGACUUCAAAUCAAAAGUGUUAGCUGAUGUCGAUUUAUAAACUUAUAGAACACACUCACUCAUUUAGGAUAUCUUUCAACCACAUUUUAUAUGUGGGAUUCAGCUUUCAAGGUUACAAAAUAUAGAUUGUUUGAGAACAUCCGUUCGGAUACUGAAUUAGAUGCUCAAUAGGUACAUGCAGUGGCAGAUUUGAGGUAUCGUUUGGUAUGCAGACGGGACGGGAUAGGACGGGACGGAACGGAGAGAGAGCAAAAAUGCCCUUAGAUGGAAACAAGGAGGAAGAAGAAGGAGACGGAGAGGUUAUAAUUUUGUGUUCCACGAAUGUGGAACGAAUCGUUCCAGGGGGUGAGGCGGAACGAAAAUUCACCCAAAAUUCGUCCAGUGAAACAGUGCAUUCCACUCGUUUAGGCGCACCAAACGUGGGACGGAACGCCUCAUCCCACUCUGUUCCGUCCCGUCCCACGUACCAAACGGUAUUCCAAUCUUAAGGGAUCACAGUGUUAGAGGUUCAAGUUUUUAGAUAGAAAAAGUGUGAAGCGUGCAAAAAAAAAGAAAAAAAAAUCAGUUUAUUCAAUGAGGAAUUUCUUCGAACACUUGAUGAGCUUGUUGUUGUUAGCCGAACCAAAAACAAUCUUAUGAGUGUUCUUGAGAGAAUUUGAAGAGUGUUGUUGACGCAACAUGCGGGAGACAUUUCGUCAAACAUUUGGUUUGCACAAAAAAGACUCGGUACCAUACAUUCGGAAGAUCCUUAGAAGACCUUCAUAUGUAUAUUUCUCAGACUCCGACUAGUCUUAAGACGACUUAGGUCCCAAUAUACAUCUGUCACUGGAUACGUGAGGCCAUGUUCAUGUUUGGUAAAACUAGUUGUGGGAUUUAUGAAACCUGCUACAUAUCAGAGCCACGAAGGAGGAAGCUCAAACCCUUGGACACCCUAGAUUUGGUUUGGGGAAAAAUGAGCUUGGGAGCGAUAAAUUGUUGUAUUUUCGUGUUUGGGAAAUUAUUUUUUUUAUGCACGAGAAAAUAGAGAGAAAGUGAAUUUCUCCAUCAACUUGAUUCUUAUUUUGAAAAACUAAAACAAACAUUAAAAAAGAAGUGACAUUUGCUGAUGAUGGCUUGCUUUUUAUUUACAGCACUUAAUUCACCUGUAAUGUAGUUGAAUUAUUUAUUUAUAAUAUAUAUAUAUAUAUAUAUAUAUAUAUCACCUUCCUUUGAGGGGUCUACAGGAGCCAAUAUUAUGAAAUUUGAUUACCAAAAUAAAGGACGGUGGGGGAGCUAUUAGCCUAAUUUGAUGUGGAAAUUAAUUAAUGUUUAAUUAAACUUUAAUUGAAAUGAAAAGACUCCAUCUUAUCUCAACCUAAUCACAUGCUUUAAGUUAAAGCGAUCGUUGUUCCCCAAAAAAAAAGUGUACGAGAAGGAUGAUAGGUUGAGAUAUAUAUCAAGGGUGAUAGGGGGGUGAUAGGGAUCAGCUUAGAGAAAAAUUAGACGAAACUAAUUAAAUUCAAUGUUAAAUGAUGUGUCAUAUUUUAGGUUGGUUAGAUUAUUAGGAAACUAAUGAAAAUGGCUUGAAAACUUUGAGUUUUAAUGAUAAGGACAAAAUAAAGGGUAAAGUGAAUAGUAUCAGGAUUGACUUUUUAAUGUAAAAAUGUGGUUUUUCGUUAAAUUGAACAGUACCGGGAGCUUUUCGUUAAAGUUCCCUAGAUUAUUAUUAUGUUAGUCUAGAUAUAGCGAAAUGCGGUAUAUGUAUAAUCUCUAAAUAUAGAGACUCGGAUCCCAUUAGCAUAUAUGACUGUAGACCCAAUUUACCAGAAAAAUUAAAUUAAUUAAUUAAUUAAAGACCAAAAGUAAAGAUUGAGAAUUUUAUUUUUUUUUUUAACAAAUGAUAUUAUUUACAGUAAGGGAUGGGAGGUGGGCGGGCUAAGUCUCCCAAUGUGUAUGUAAUAAUGUGGUUAAAAUCCAUUUUUAGCGAGAAUCGAACUUAAGACCUCUCACUUACAAGUAAAAGAAAUAUCACUAGAUUAUAGUAUUAAAUGAUUAAAAGUGUGUUACAAGUAAAAAAUUGGGAAUUAGAUAUCAAAUCAUUCGAUUCAUUCCUAUGUUAAUUAAAGUUUAUAUGGAGAGAAAAGUGUGUUUGAUGACGUGUAUGUUUCGUGGCCUUUUCGAUUCCAAGAGGGCAUGAUGAGGACGAUAAUGGACGAUAUAGUGUAUAGUAUUUCGAUUAUGUUAUUGCGUACAGAACAAUCUCAUGUUUUACUCAUUAAUUAAUGGAUGUCUUACUCUUCCGAUUUAUAUAGUAAUUAUAUCGAGUUUAUAUUCAUCCGGUCUAAUAUAUUGUAUUCGUAUUGAAAUACACAUUUUUACCAACGAGUCUUUAGUACAUUAGUAGUUGUCUUUUACUUGAUUAGAGGAAGCCGCAUGUCGAACUUAUAAGAAUAUGAAAAAGAUACAUAUUGUUUUGUUAUGACGAUGUUUGUGGAGAUCUGGAGUGAGUUAACCCCCAUCGAAAGAUUAAGAAAUCUUACAAGGGUACUUAGAAAACUAGUUUACACCUAGUCAAUAAGCUUUAGAUUGAAACUUCAGCUUUCUUAACAGUAUUAGCAACUCGUGUUCCACAUCAUCCAAUAUAUCCACAUUCUCAUUGAAGUUGGUUAUUGGAUUACCACCUCGACUCCAAAUUCCUUGAGAAUGAGAAAUUGAAUUUCUAAUUUGGUGUAGACCUUACUUCUCUUUUGAUUCCUCUAUAGUUAACGAACACAUGAAUAAUCCAUAGGCAAGUCCAAUUCUUUAAUAAGUCAUGGAUUUUUUUUUUUCAAAUUAAAAAGAAAUUUCAUUAUAAAUUGUCAAAAAUUUACAUAAGGCAAAUAUGUCAAGGUAGAGCGAACCAAGAGGCUACACAUGCCAGAUACAAUACAAUUACUUAAACAUGAUGGAUCUAAAUUCAACCAAUAGAAAAGAUAUUCACGGUAACUAAAUAUUGCAAGUGGGAGAACCAUCAUAAAUGCACCACAAGGGAAAACCCGCAGCACCAUAUGGUGCAAUCGUUGACAAAGAAGCCAUAUUAUGAGUCACUUCCAACUAACAUUGAGCUUUCCCCUCAUGGUUCCUUGCCUAGUGCACAAACCAGAACCGGUGCUGCAAAGGACUCACAUUGACAAAACAAGAGAAUAACUACAACCAUAACCACAAAGACGCUCCUCAUUAAAGUGAGAGUGCGACUAUAACUACAAAUGCUUUCCUUAAUAGAGUGAGAAAACGAUCACUACUAAACACACAAGAAGGAAAAGAGAGGAGAUGAUGGAUGCUUAGAUUUGUGUGGAAAUCUCAUUAAUUUUAUGUUGAGUUCAUAUUGUAUAUGUCAUGGACACCUCCGUAAAAUAGCAAAGUAAACAUAUAAAAAUAUAAAGUUAGGUAUCGUACGAUAACUAUUUCUGUUUUUAGUUUUUAUUUUUUGGUUUGCACUUUUCUUUUUUUUUAAAUUAGAACUUAUUUGGUAAUUACUUUAAAAAAAAUAAAAAUUGAAAACAAGAAAUGAAAACUCAAGACUACUGUAGCUUUCAGUUUUUGCCUUGGUUUUCAUUAUUUAUUUUUUUAAACUGAAAAUUGACAAAAAAACUUAAAAUAGUUACUCAAUAAGAUCAAUUUUCAAUUAAAAAAAAAAAAAAAAAAACUGAAAACGAACUGCUUAUCAAAUGAACACUUAGAAAAGCAUGGUUUUUUUAAAGAAUUAUUAAUUUUUAACUCAAAAAGUCCACCUAGAAAGCUACAGGGUUCAUUUUUAUGUAUCUCUUUGCUGUCAUCAUCUUUACCACUAGUAUGAAUGAUUAUACAAACCCAUAAUUAAUCAUACAAAUUACGUGGGGCUAUCCUUCGUGGGUAUCAUCGACAAAAAAAAAGUUUGAUGAGCGUAAAUGCAUAAAUAUGAAAUGUUUAAUUAGGUAAGCUUUUUUUUUUUUUUUUUUUUUUUUUUGGAAAAUUAGGUAAGCUUAACAUCUCAAAUCUUGAAUCAUUGAGUGUUUAGCCGGUUGUAUUUUGGGUGACACUCGUAAUUGCAUUGAUCUGCACCAAUAGUAUCUCAAGAUUCAAGAACCUCUCUUUUUUUGACAAUUUAUUAUAGAGAACUUUAACGAAAAGCACCUGGUACUGUUCACUUUAACGAAAAACCACAUUUUUACACUAAAAAGUCAAUCCUGGUACUAUUCACUUUACCCUUUAUUUUGUCCUUAUCAUUAAAACUCAAAGUUUUCAAGCCAUUUUCAUUAGUUUUCCUUUUAUUCUAUUCUAAAUCACUCUAGUUAAGUAUAAAGCGAGUAAAUACAUUGUCCAACCGAAAAGACAUGAAUAAAUUUCUUUCAUAUUGUUCGUGAUCAGCAUCAAUGCCUCCAUGAGACGAACUUAGGAUUAAAACAGCAUUUUUUUGGGGGUAAUUUUUGAGGAAUGAUUUAAGUAAUAUUUAGUUAAUGAAAAUCUUCUUUGUAAGGAUUCCAAAGAUCCUUCAAUCAUAUUCAUUCAUUAUAUAUCGUGUGGUAAAAAAAUAUGAUAAAUUUUUUCGUCUAAAAUUAAAUAUAAACAAUACCUGACGAAAACUGACCGUACGAUGUACGAUAAACGAAUACGAUUAGAGAAUUAUCAAAAUUCUUCCAAGAGAAUCCGAAAAUGAUCACCAUUCAAUGUAAAAUAACAUAAAGAAAUAACAAGGUACAAACUUUCAUGUGUUCAUCGUUUUCGGUGGAGGUGCAAAUCUCUAAUUAAACCGACCCGCACUACGACUUAUUGUGUUGCCUGCUGCCAAAGUGCCAAGCCUGCAACUGUGUGUAGAUAUGUAUUUUAGUAUUACCAAAUUUAGCACAUUGCUUUUUUAUGCGUGUGAUUAUUCUAUUUCAUGAACCCUCGUGUGUGCACAAUUUCAGAGCCAGAACUCGCAGUUCCCACCGUCCUAUUUCUGAAUUUCACAAAAGAUUCCAGCCAUAUUAUCUUCACACUAAUUUUUAUGGGGUCUGGAGGUACGAGAUAUUUUAGAUUUGUUUAAGCGUCAAAUUUUUUAUUCGAUAUAAAAGAUUUAAGAGAUAAUAUUUAUGUAUUUUGAUGCGAAAAAAUAAUUUAUAUGAAACGAAUGUAUCAUCUUGUGACAUUUUAAUUCGAUAAACAAAUUGUCAUAUGGGGCAAAACGUACCCAUGAUAACAUAUUAUUGAACAAGGAACGUAACAGACGGUGCACUUGUUUUAUGUAAAUCUUUCUAUUAGUGCGAGUUUGACCCCCACCAUCCUCCUCCCUCUUAGCAUUUAACAAUUUAAUCCAACAACGUUAUCGUUUGUCAAGAGAUUUAACGUGAAAAAAACUUGAAAUAUCUUAUACUCUGAAACACCAUAAUAUUUUAAAAGAUUUUGACUAGCAUAAGGAAAGUUACAGGUGAUUAUGAUCUCAUUUGUUUGGACCAUACUUCGUCAAUUCCGAAACUACCAAGCACCGAUCAUCUCCAUAUUUUUAGGGGCCUCUUGGCCACCAUCGUGCAAUUCACUAGCAGCAGGAAUCGAACUUAAGACGUGUUGUGUGAAUUAUGAGCCUGAAAUUCAUUAUCAACCAUUAAGCCAUCCCGUGAUAGUUACUCUUCAAUGUGCUACAGAGAUGGUGUCGGUUGAUUCAAAACCUUAGAGAUGGAGCUGGUUGAUUCACCUACUAUAUCAUCAUAUUCACCAAAAUUCUAAAAAUUAUUUUAACUCCAUAUAUAGAACUUUUGUAAAACCCCAAGAAAAGCCAAAUGAGAACAAAAAUGUAUUUUCUGUUUAGGAAGGGAAGAGAAAAAUGAAAAAAAAAAUCUUUUUCGUUCAAAAGUUGCUGCAUUGGUGGGUGUAGAAAGAACGACAACCAAACACGGCCUUAGCCGUCGGGUCCCCCUUUUGGAAUUGGUUCCAAACCCAAGGCCCAUAUAAAAUUUUAAAAAUCCAGGGUAUUUCCGUCAAUUACAUUAUUUAUCCAAAAAGCCUCUCUUCCAGUUCCGGAACGACGCAUCCGAAAAUUAGGAAAAUUCGAGGACAAAUUAGUCCUUUCAAAGUAAUUUCAAUUUUGUAAAUAGCCGUUUAAUAAUUUUGAAAUUUAUAACGACGUCGUUGUCCUCUCUCUCUCUCUCUCUCUCUGACUUUCUCUCUCUUGUUGUCACAGAAAGAUUAUUUUAUAAUCCAAGCAAGCCGUCCAAAUCUCUCUCUCUUCCGUGGAGCCUCUUACCAUCAUCAACCCCAUUUGCGAAGCCAAAUUCCAACAAACCCUCCCUCCCUCCUUACAAUCAAAAUUAGGGUUUUGCUUUCUCCCAAUUCGCUCGCAGAUCUGAUCGAAAUUGCUAUUCUUUUCUUUUGAUCAAUUGAUAACCGCAGAUCUUGGUUGCGUAGUUUCUUCUAUUUCAUCCGGUCCGGUUCGUCCGAUUGCGAAUGCAAGAAUUUGAUUGAUUUUCUGCAUUGUUUGGUGUGGAAUUUCUGAGAUCGAUUCGAUCGAAUUGCAGAUUCUGAGGGUUCGAAAUCGCAUUUCCGUUGGUUUUACUUUCAUGUCCCGCUUCGAAUUCGAGUUUUCUCCACCCUGUGAGUAUAUGUAGUUUCAUGCAGAUCAUCGUGCUUCUAUUCGUUUGAAAUUCUUGUGCUUUUUGCGUUUUACGUGUUUAUAUAAACGCAUUUUGGUGGUGUGUUUUUGUGGAGCAGUUGUUGGUAUUUAGAUCCUGAAAAUUGGCUCCUCAAAGACGGUCGCAGCGCCACAUGGGUGGCCAGAUGCAGCAGAGCAAUGCCGCCGCGGCAACCGCUCUGUACGACCACGCCACCGGCGCUGCCGCAGGGCCUCUGCACAAUGCAGGGCCGACAGGUGAUGCUGGUGAUGCGGUCAUGGCCCGUUGGCUCCAGUCCGCCGGGUUGCAGCAUCUGGCCUCACCAGCUUCCACGGGCAUUGACAAUCGUCUCCUUCCCAAUCUCCUCAUGCAGGUAUUGUUAACUUGUAUUUAUAACCAUUACCAAUAAGAUUGUGCUAUCUUAUGAUUCUUAUCCUCCUUUUACAUGUGUGAAUACGUGAUCACUGAUGUCUAAGUGUUUGAUUUGUAAAAGGGUUAUGGAGCUCAAUCUGCCGAAGAGAAGCAGAGGCUUUUCAAAUUAAUGCGAAACCUCAAUUUCAAUGGGGAGUCUGGUUCUGAGCCAUACACACCUACUGCCCAAUCUCUGGGAGGAGCUGCAUCGGAUGGUUUAUAUUCUCCGGAAUUAAGGGGUGAUUUCGGAGCGGGGUUGUUGGAUCUUCAUGCUAUGGAUGAUACAGAGCUUCUGUCCGAGGUAUAGUUCUUAAAUAAUUAAUGAAUAUUCUGCCUUUAACUCAACUUGAAAAGUUCUGCAUGAAUUGAUUCUGUAAAUUCAUAACAACAGAAGCCAGUACAUCAAUAACUCUCGUGUCUACUAAGUAUCAGACGAUGAGGUAGAUAACUAAUCGGUGACAGUCAUUUUAUUUGAAGUUGCCUUACAACGCUUUAUGCUAUUAUUCAAGAUCUGCAGAAUUCUGACCAGUUGUGCGCUUUGGUAUAUCAAGUUGUGACACCAUUAUUUUGGUCUGAAAUUACGGCCCAGCUCUUAUGAGCUAAAAUAAAUUGAAAAUUCAAAUGUCUCACUUGUUUUGCUGGGAUACCCAAAUGCUAAAACUCAGAUUUGGGUUUUGACUCUAAAUUUGGAUUGGUCAAGGAAAAGUUUUAUUUUAUGUUAUUUCUACCCGACCAUCUUGGAUUUGGCAAAAAACUUAUAUUUGGGUUUUGAGAUUCUGGUGCAUUGGAGAAGGAAAAAGAUUUUUAUUUAGACCCAAAUCUAACAUCUAUGCUGCAGAUGGCCAAUAUUUGAUUCUAUGGCUAGCACGGUUCCAUUCUUGUUUCCUUUAUCUAUCUGUAAUUGGUCUGUUUUAGAUUUGAUAUAUAUUUAUAGCUGCAGAAAAACUGUUUGUACCUUUGUUGGAAACUAGGAAGCAAGAGGAGUUAAAUUCUCACUUACUUUGGAAAUGUUGUGCAUAACGAUUACAGCUAUCGGGCCAUAGGAAGAAAAGAACUACAAUUUCUGUUCUUUCUUGUUCUGUUCCUUUUUUUGUUAAUAAAGUGCGGUAUUGUUUACACGUGCAGCAUGUCAUCUCUGAACCCUUUGAGCCAUCACCAUUUAUGCCUGGUGGUAAAGAAUUUGAGGAUGAGUUGAAUUUGACAAGUAAUAGGCAGCAAAGAGUGCUACCUGAUCCAGAUCCAUCAUUUCCAUUAGCCCAGAGUGAAAAGGAGAGCACAAAGGAAAACAAUGUGGCUAAGAUUAAAGUUGUGGUAUGUGUGCUUAUAUCUGACUUGGUUCCUUAUUUCUGUAUGAAUGCUUUGUAUCAUAUACCAUUUUUGGCAUCUUCUGUUGUGUGAUUUGGAGGCAUAUGAUGGAAUGUCAAGUCUAUUACGUUUCAUGGAAAUUUUGAAAGAUUUGUGCUCUAAUGGUUAAUAUUAGGUACGCAAAAGACCUUUGAACAAGAAGGAGCUUUCACGGAAGGAGGAGGAUAUUGUAACCGUGUAUGACAAUGCUUAUUUGACAGUCCAUGAACCCAAACUAAAGGUUUGUUCUCAGCAUUCACAAGGCACCAGAUGCUACUUGAACUUUUAGCUGAAUUUUGUUUUUGGGAUUGAAGUCUCUUUUCCUCACAUAUCUUCUUUGGGAUUUACUUUUUGUUCUCAUAUGAUAGGUGGACUUGACUGCAUACGUGGAGAAGCAUGAAUUUUGUUUUGAUGCUGUACUGAAUGAGCAAGUUUCAAAUGAUGAGGUCAGAGACUAAAAUUUCCAUGUACACAAGUGUCUAAAUGUUACCUAAUUCCUUUAGUGUUUAGGAUACUGUUGCAUAUUGGGCAUAGUCUGUUCCUCUACGAUUGUUAUCAGUUCGAUAGAAUAAGUUUGAUGACUUUAAAUGCUUUUUGGAACAGGUAUACCGGGCUACUGUAGAACCAAUCAUUCCCAUAAUUUUUGAGCGAACAAAGGCUACAUGUUUUGCUUAUGGUCAAACAGGUAUGUUGUUCAUAUGAUCUUCCCUUUUAAUACACUACAUGAUUAUCAGCUUAUCCUUGUUGAUACUUUAUUCUUUUCCAUACAUGUAUUAGACAGUCAUCAAAAUGCAGUAUCUUUUCAUUGGUUGAGUUAUUAAUUGUACUGAGCUUGUGAUAAACUGGAGUUUAGAUCUGAGACAUUAUAUUAGUGGUUUUACUUAAUGCUAUGUGAUCCUUUUCAACGAAGUUAAAUGUCUGCAUUAUUGAAGUACUAAUGAGGUUUGAAUUAUAGGUAGUGGUAAGACAUUCACAAUGCAACCGUUACCUAUCAGAGCUGCAGAAGACCUCGUCAGAUUGUUACAUCAGCCAGUUUACCGUAACCAGAGAUUCAAAUUGUGGCUUAGCUAUUUUGAGAUUUAUGGUGGAAAGCUCUUUGAUCUUCUCAGUGAUAGGAAGUACAUCUCUUUGCUUCAUUGGUUCUUUUAUUUUGAUGUUAUGAACAUAUUCAAGUUCAUUGUUUAAUUUUUUUUCUUUUAAAUUUUUAAAUUUAAAUUGCUACUAUAUUCGAAUGGGAUUUGAACCCAAUAUCUUAUUAGAGGAGGUAUAGGCUUGUAGAUACUUUGGGGAAUAGGCUAUGUUAGUGCAUUAUAAUAGUCUGAUGAGUAAAAAGAUUGGGUGCAAGUUAGAUUCUGUGGAAUCAUUAUGGUAUUUGGGUUCUGAUUAUGUGCAAUUCUGGGUUCGACAUGCAUUGUGCAUCAUUUUCUUUUAUAUGCAACACAUUUCUUUUCAUGCCAUUUAGACAUAAUGUACAUAUGUAUAUGUAUGUGAAUUUUGGUUCACUUGGCGGUGUACUUCUAUAACUGUGUUAUGACAUGAGUGACUUCAUUCCUUUACAAUAGGAAACUAUGUAUGAGAGAAGAUGGACGACAACAAGUUUGCAUUGUUGGACUGCAAGAGUUUGAAGUUUCAGAUGUACAAAUUGUUAAAGAAUUUAUUGAGAGGGGGAAUGCUUCUAGAAGUACUGGAUCGACAGGUGCUAAUGAGGAGUCUUCUCGGUCUCAUGCUAUUUUACAACUUGUUGUUAAAAAGCACACUGAGGUAAAAGAUUCCAGGCGAAACAUUGAUGUAAAUGAAUCUAGAAGUGGGAAGGUUGUGGGAAAGAUCUCUUUUAUUGAUCUUGCUGGUAGUGAAAGGGGUGCCGACACCACUGAUAAUGACCGACAAACAAGGUAAUCUUCCAAGUUUAUCUUUUUUUGGGCUGUACCUCUUCCAUCAGGAUAAUGCUUCUUAGGCUAUAAAAUAAACCAUUAUUGUUCUUCGCAUUCAUUGUAAUGCAAGUUUUAUAUUGGCAUGAUGAUUUACUGGCUACUGCAGUUUCUUUAAUUAAAAUGGGUUAUUGCAGAAUUGAAGGAGCAGAAAUUAACAAGAGCCUUUUGGCACUUAAGGAGUGCAUUCGUGCCCUGGACAAUGAUCAGAUCCAUAUACCUUUCCGUGGAAGCAAACUCACAGAAGUGCUCCGUGACUCCUUUGUUGGAAAUUCAAGGACUGUUAUGAUAUCUUGCAUUUCUCCAAAUGCAGGGUCAUGCGAGCAUACACUUAAUACUUUGAGAUAUGCAGAUCGGUAUGCUUUAUGCUAUUGUCAACUUAAAUAACUCUAAGGACUUUGCUACUGGUUAAUGAUUACACUUAUGUUUCAAACUAAAAGAUUAUUUUAUACAAACAGCGUGAAAAGUCUUUCAAAGGGUGGCAAUGCUAGAAAGGAUCAAGCCAUAAAUUCAUUACCACCAGCGAAUAGGGAUGUUUCAUUAGCAUCUUCUACACUGGUUUCUUCUGAGGUAGAGGAUGUCCGUGAGCAACAUCAAGAAGUUAAAGUAGCUGAUACAGGUAGAAGAGCUGUGGAGAAGAAAGUUUCUCAUAUAUCCCUCCUACUCCAGAGUUUGACAAGCAGCCAGCAAAGUCGUCAUCAAGUAAUCCCAUCAAUGUUCGGGAAGAAAGUGGGGUGCCUUCUGGUUCAAUGGACAGGGAGAGAUUUGAAAUGAAUAAUUCGUAUGGUGAUAAUUACAGUCAGAAGUUGCCCAAUUAUUCUAAAAACUCGGUUGAUACAGAAGAGAGAGUACAAAAGGUGUCGCCACCUCGUAGGAAAGUAACCAAGGAUGAAAAAUCAGAAAGGCUGGGGAACUGGCCGAAAAAAGUUGGUUCGGAUCUCUCCACCACAAGCUCUAAGCAGCAAAGUACCGGAAUUUAUAAUGCAAGCAAUGCUGGAUCCAGACAAUCUGAGCCUGAAGUUCCUGAUGGGAAUAUCAAUGCCAUUCUUGAGGUUGGUACUCUGUGGCCUAACUCAUUUUAACCGUGUAGUUAUUUUUUUAAGUUCUCCUGCACCCCCUGCUAAUUUGUUGAGUUCUUUGGACUGUUUAGGAAGAAGAGGCCCUUAUUGCUGCCCAUAGAAAAGAAAUUGAGGAUACAAUGGAAAUUGUUCGCGAAGUAAGUGAAAAUUUUUGUCUUUUGAUUUUAAAGAUGAGAUUUUCUAUUGGCUAUUAUCAGUCGUGCAUAACAUGCAAACUCUCCGUUUUAAGUUAUUGUUUGGUUUUGUACGUUCAUGAACUUUGAAUGGCGUUUUUUUUCAUCUUUUCACAUGGUGCUCAUCCCUGUUGUUUGGUUACCAGGAAAUGAAACUGUUGGCGGAAGUGGACCAACCGGGGAGCCGCAUAGACAACUAUGUGACCCAGUUGAAUUUUGUUCUUUCCCGCAAGGCAGCCGGUCUGGUUAGCCUUCAAGCCCGGCUUGCAAGAUUCCAGCACAGACUAAAAGAACAGGAAAUACUAAGUCGGAAAAGAGUACCUCGUUAAGGCAGGCACUUUGUUUCGCUGCGCACUGUAUCUUGUAUUGUAGACAUUACAAAGCAGGAGGCCUGUGGGAGAGGAUUUGAGGCAUUGCAGACUCCGGACUUUGUUCACAUCCAGACUUCUGGCUUGAAGCACGGGAAUGGGGAUAGGAUUCGUGUCUUUUGCCGGUAAUUUGUGUUUUCUUUUGUAAUUCUUUAGAUAAGUCCGUCGAUGUGUUCUUGCCGAGUUCCUCUGGAUUUUGGAUUUCGGCUGUUGUGUAAUGGUGACCGGGGAUUUGAUUGCACAAAGUAUUUUCUAGUAAAGGAAAAAAAAUGAAAAUAUAAGGUUUAUAUUUCAUUUUGUUUGGUUUUUACUGUUCCUCGAGUAGCCAUGUCAGAGAGUUGCAAGCCCCUUCUAAAGGAUUUGGAUCCUCUCCUGAGCUAAUGGAGAGGAUCCUCCUAACCACUAAUCAUGGGCCGUUGGAUUUUUAUCCAACAGCUAUAAUUAUUAUAACUUUAAAAGGGCCCUCCUGGUUGUAGCCGUUGGAUAAAAAUCCAACGGCCAUUGAUUAGUGGUCAGGAGGACCCUCUCCAUUAGCUCAGGAGAGGAUCCAAGUCCCCUUCUAAAGGGCUUGCAACUCUAGUGCUAAAAUCGCAUUUACUCCUGCAUCUGAGGUUUUGAGACCGUUUCUUUUUACCACAAUUUUAACCACUCGAAGGGUUUCAAAAGCACUUGAGCAAUGGUUUGAAGGUGCCUUGAGUAGCUAUAUUUCUGAAUUCCCAAAGCAUAAGCAAAUUGGCCAAAACAAACGAAACCUUUGUUUUAUAAAUAGAAAUAUUUCUCACGACAGUUGGAUCAAGAUACAAAGGACCAAAAGGAAACCUGCAGUCUAGGAUUUGUUCAGGCUCUCAACAUUUAUGUUUCCGGCAAUCAAGGUUCCCACUUGUAUUGUAUAUACAAGUAACUAUUUCCGCAUCGUGCUCUGAUAAGCCUUGACUUACAGGACUCACCUCGCCAGGACAACUCUCAAAUCACUCAAAAAAAAUGCGAAACUGGCACGACCGGCAAUAACACUAUGAAUCUAAUGCAGACAUUGAUGGGCACACCUACUUCAUGAUAUCAUUAGCUAAUUCCUGAUUGGUACUACAGCAUGUCAAAAGCUUGCUUCGUAGACACAAUCAGUCUGCUCUCAAUUUUAGGAUCUCCUUCGCUGUUCUCGAUCGAAAAUAUGGCAUGUGUUCCUGCAAUGACAAUAAAAACAGGGUUGAAUCAUACUAACUAAAAGUUGUUCAGCAGAGCGAGGAAUGGUUGGUAGUGCGAGUUUUUCAUGGAAACCUAAUCCAAGAGCAGGCCAUACAUGAGCAGUUCAUUCUAUUGCAUACUAGUACGAGAGGAAAGAAGAAGAAAUAAAAGGAGCCAGUACCGAGAUUCUUCCCCCUAGAAUAUUGGCUAUAAUUUCCCAUUUUAAAGGUUUGAAUGCAUGUGCAGUCAAAUAAAUAUGAAUUAGCAACAGAAGCAUCUCUAUAUGCGUUACCUGUUUGAAACAGAGCCCAAUAUCCCUGCUAUAAAAGUCAGCAUAUUUAACCAUGAAAACACCACAGUCAUACCUGUUAUAAAGAAAUUGAUCAGAACAAUUAAUUAUAAAGAGUUCGCAAAAAAAAAAAUAUUAAUAAUAAUUUCCAGCAAGUGUCAAGACAUGCAAUGUUAGCCUACCCAUUCUCCUGCUCAGGAAGGUUGUCAACAUAUUCUAAUUCCCAAGAACUCAAAUCGAUAUCCUCUCCACUCUUGUCCUUCACUUCAUCAACGUAGUAUUUAGCCUGCAAAUAUACACAGUGAACCGUUAGCUGCAACUCAAUUGAUUGAAUGGAUUUACUACUUUUCCUACCAUUUUCUCAGGGCCUGCCAUAAGAAUCGAGAAAAGGAAAAAGAAAAAGAUGAAUAAACUACCAGGUGGGCCUAAUAAUAUCUUCUGGCCUGCACAGAAUAUACUGUUUUUCUUUUGGCCGUCAAAAUGAGGCAAAUAAACAAUAGUACCGGAUGGAUCAGCUAAAUGAACAAAAGGGAAAAUAGUGAUACUUCUAACUAUGAUGUUAAAAUCAAAGUUCUGACAAGCCAUUGUUUCCAGAGAUGUGAUGUCCAUAUAGACUGGUGGAGCCAGAACUUCAUAUGGGUGGGCGGACAACCUAAAUUUAGUAGCCAUUUCCUAAAACUGCACAAUUCAAAGCCAUAUACCUUGAGGUGGGAGACAAGACCACUAGCAGUCUUAACAUUGAGACGGCCUGGUAGCCAUAGUGUUCAAAGGGUUGGUUGGGAAAUCAUUAUGUGCAACUACAUAACAAAUGAGGAGUGUAUUGUCUGCACUACUUUUUGGCCUUCAAGCUUCUAGACAAUUAAUUCAAAUAUCACUUACCACCAAUUAAGAUUUUUUACUAUGAAGAGUUAAUUGAUGGUAGAUGAUUGAUGAAAUGGUUGCUCAGACAUCAUGAACACUAAAAUGUUUCUGAGUGGAGAAUGGCUUUGGAUUCAAUAAUUUGAUGUGCAGAUUGCAUACCACAUUAAGAGUGCAUGCAGGGAGGGAUAUUCUUCCCAAGUUCCGCAGGCAAGGCUGACAAUAUGAUUUUAUACACUUUUAAAACCCAGACAGUUCCCACAGAUGGUUUAUAAAAGAGUAGCAGGAAAUUAUAAGGUACCAACAAUGGCAAGAAUUUUAGUAUUAUAAAAAAAAAUACCAACGUCCCAUACCCCUUACCACAAAAAAUAAAAUAAAACAGGUGUUAUCGAGGGUAAGCACCAUGCAUCAAUAAAUUAUAUCAACAGCCAAACAAAAGAUGACUACAAAACGUACCAAUAUUCUCAUCACUUGGGUAUCCCUUCCUUUGAGUGAAUCAAGAUACUGUAACUUCUGAUCUACCUUGUUAAUAACUGCCAAGCACCAAUGUAUUUCUUUGUGGAUGGGGACAAAUAUCUGAAAAGAAAACCACUUAUGAAAUAAAUGUGAUUUCCGUAGAACUGAGUAUAUGGUGUAAGGAAAAAGGUUUGAUUAAAGUUACUUUGUCGCAAUCAAUGAGGUAGUAUCCCAACUUUCUUUCGGUAGUCCACCUUCUGACAGAUUUAUAAUCAUAGCCACCUUUCCCACUUAUCAACUGCACAUUAAAUUUCAGAAAAAUAAGAGCAUGGAAAAUCUUAAUCGGACAGCAAAGAUGGUACCCAAUCUAGGCAAAUUAUUACUAGGAGUGUGAAUGCACGGGCUGAGUUGACAGGCCUUGCCUGCAGUUAGCCUAAAGAGCACAUGGCUGAGCUCUCAACCCAGCCCAGCCAUCAGGCCUAAAGUUGAUCAAAAUGUAAUAUACGUAAACAAUGGGACAAACAACUGGGGCAUUUCGGGUCAGGCUUAUAUCAGGCUGAUUUAUUUUCUGAACUUCAAAUCAAAUGUUUUAAAUCAGCCACAACUCAGACGAGACUUGUCCUAAAGGUCGAUGAAAUUGCAGCACAAUUUGACCAAUUGAAAAUAAACUGGAAUUAGAGCUUCAUAUAUUAUUAACAUUUUCAAAACAUAUAUUGUUUCAACUCUUAAGGAAGUUUCAUAAAUCAAGGAGUGACUAUAUAAUUCAUAAUAGUGUGCACUUAUCUAGACAAGAAAUUAAUGAUAUCAGCAAAAUAUUUGCCAAACUCUUCUGACUGUAAAAAGAAAAAAAGAAAAAAGAAAAAAAGAGAGAACUAAACAGGAUAUGCAUAUACAAAUAUGUGCCGAGAACCAUGACUAAAAGAUAUAAGAAGACUACAUGCAAAUUACAAACCUUUGUAUAGAAAAAUGUGUUGAAGAAGUGACAUUUUAAGAACUUUUGUGGUUCUCUCUUCUCCCUCUCUUUCAGCAAUUCAAGGUACACAUUUAUGACCUGAAAGCAAGAAAGUGCACGUUAUCAAGAAACUAAAUUACCAGUUUGGUAAGCCCGUAUAAGUCCCACAUCAACCAUUAAAAACAAAAUCUAAUGAAGAAACUUAAUCUUUGUCAUUGCUAAAAAAAAAUGUAAACACAUAACCUAAGAAUACCUCAUCCUUCAACCACGCCCCUGGUCUAAGGCACUGCAGAAGUUCACCAGUUAUCUCUAUGUUUGAGUUCUCAUGAGUUACCAAGAUCCUCUUCCUGUUGAAGGAACCCCAACAAUGUUAUAGUUUACCAUACACCAAUUUUAAAAUGAACCAAUAUAUAUGCAUAAAUCCAUACCGGUUGGAGGAAGAAAAUGCUUGCUCAAUCUCCGCCACUUCCUCCUUUCUAAGAGGGACAAAUGGUUCAACGGGCACAACCUAAAAAGAAAUGGGAAUAGCUUAUUAAGACUUCGUUACCAAUCAUUACUUCCAGGUUGAUACAAGCUUUUUAACUUUAGAAUUAGUAACAAUUCUUCAAACUACAUACCAAGCAUAUCCCCAGAUAACCAAAGAAAUGAAAAUUAUACUUUAUAGUUUAUAACAGGUAGAAAGUUAAUGCAAAACGAUAAAACAUUCACCUCCACUGGUUUCUUUUGUGGACGCAGCGAUUCAAGCAUAUACCGUUUCUUCCAAUGGAAGUCAAUUUGGAAAUCCAAAUGUUUCAGUUUCGGAGUCCGCCUCUCUACACUCUCAAUCAACAGCUUGUAUGCUGCCUUACUUGGCACACCCACCUCACGAUUCAGCGACAGUGAGUCCAACAUCUUCCCUGCACUGUCCUCUUUGAAAGCAGUAUUCGUAGUUGUGGUCAAGUCUGAAACCACUGAAGAAGCCGAUGGAUGAGUAGCCUGAGUUCCACAAUCCACCAUCUUCGUAUCCAAUUCCUGCCCAUAAUCCACCACAGAAGGCCCUUCUUGGUCAUCUUCCUCUAUAGCCACAACUUCUUCUAUGCUUGAAUCCUCGGAAACCCGAUCAUCUUCAACCUCCUUAUCCAAUUCAAUCACCUCCUUGUCCUUGGUCGAAUACCGAAAUGCACUGAAGGCGACGUUCUUUGCCUUGUCCAAAUGGUAACUCAGUACAUUGCCCAUCGACCGCUCUUCAGGAACCCCUCUAGUUUUCGGACUCAAACCACGAAAGGACCCGAAUUUUUGUGUUCUGCAAGGGGCGUGAACUCUAGGCAAUGGGGGCUUUAUAUCCGGGUACCGAGAGAGCCUCGAACCGGCGCUUUUAGAAGAGACGAUGAGUUGGUUCGGGCUCUGAUUCACGUGAGACAAUCUGGGUCGCUUCGAGCUUUGAAAAUUAGGCAAAUUCAGAGAUGGGUGCGCACAAUUGAAGCUCAAACGCUCGUCCCCUCGCUUACGGUUGCUGGUUAGCGCUCCCAUUGAUAGACCCGGAGCUCAAAAACCCUAGAAAUUCACAUCUCAUCUGAUGAAAACCAUGUUAGGGCAAACAAUCACCUGGCGAAACUUAAAACCCUAAAUGUGGCGCAAUCGGAAUUCAAAAUUAGGGUUUUUGGUAAGCUGCGAAGAGGAAAAAGGGGGGAGAGAAUGGUUCGAUUGGAGCUUGUUGAAAUCGGAAAUUUGAAGGGAGCAAAAACCCUAGAAACGCACCAGAAAAUCUGUGGAGACAAAAGUGUUCCCGCUUCAAUGAAGAUUGAAGGGCUUGAGAAGAAUUUUUUGAUUUUGUUUAGUCGGAGAGUAAUUUUAAUUUUGACGCAGUUUGAGUUGGGAUCUGCAUUUCCCAAUUUUGCUCGUGUGCGUUUUAAAAAAGAAAAUUUAACCAAAAACUUCAAAUACCGUUUCUUUUAACGAAAAAUUAUAUUUUUAUAUUAAAAAAUCAAUCUUUAUACUAUUUAUUUAUCUUUUAUUUUACCUUUAUUAUUAAAACUCAAAGUCUUGAAGUUAUUUUUAAUAUUUUUCCUUUUAAGAAACGCUUCGGCUUUUUGGUAGAAUUACUUUUUGUUUUUUUACAUCGAUAUUAUUUUAAUCUCUACUAAUUAAUAAAAUAUUUAUUGUCAACCAAAAUUUUAUGAAAUUAUUAGUUUAACCCUUUAAUUAAAACAUAACAUGAAUAAGAAAUAUGAGGCACAACUGUAAUUUCAUACAAUCAAAUUUUGCUAUUUUUUUUUUCAAAACCUCACUUACAUGUAAUCCUAACAUAUCUCUAAUUAAAAAUAAAUAAAUAAAUAACUUCAUACUCUCACAUUCUCUAUCACUCUGUUCUUCUCUCCUUCUAUUUCAAAAACAAAAAUAAAAAAAAAUUCUCACACACUUUGUGUGCACCCAUAUGCUAGCUAUUUUUAAAAUAACUAAAAAGUUUUUGGUGAAAUUGAUUUUACGUUUUAAACACUUUAAGUGUUUUUCAGAAGAAACACUAUUUUUUGCAUAAAUCAUUUAAAGUGUUUUUCAAAGAUCCACUUAGAUUUUUACUCAUAAUGAAUUUUAAAAAUAUUUUCACUAAAAACGCUUUCAGUCAUUUUAUAAAUAUUUCCAAAUAAGCUAUACAUUAAGGGGAAAAAAAACAAUUCUUUUUUAUGCAAAAAAAUAAAGAAAAAAAAAACCUUUCACCCAUUACUAUACAUAAGGUUUUAACUACUUUCGUUGUGACUUUCUUAGUGUUUACGAAUAACCAGUAGUUCAAAUCUUAACAAGUAAAUAAUAAAUUAAUUAGGAGAAAAAUUAGUUUCGAACUAAUUUCUAACUUGGUUGAUCAUUAAUUAUAUAAACAUGCCUGCUUGAAGAAAUGUGUAUGAAAAUCGUAUACGUUAAAGAGCGAGUGCGAAAGAAAUUAUUCAUUAUAUUAUGUGAUAAACAUAAUUUUAUGGCUUGAAUGUCAAAAUGAUCAACGUGUUAUAGUCAUAUGGCCAAUUUAGUCUUUGUGUUUUUUAUUUAGCUAAUUUAGUCCUCGUAUUUGUCUUUGUUAGCCAAUUAAGGACAUUUCAUUUCAUCUCUAUUAAAAAAUUCAUAAAAAAUUAUAAGAGAUAUAAUUACCUUUUAUCUUUACAGAAAUGAUUUGAGAAAUAAUACAUAUAAGAGAAAAACGUCCAAUAUGAAAAAAUGAUUAAGGUUGUGAUAUAGAAAAGAGAGGGGGUAACGUUAGGGAGGAGGUCGGGAGUUGGGAGGAGAAUAAAUUUUCUUUUAAUUUAUUUCAUUUGAGAUACUUUAAAUGGUAAAUUACAUAGUAGCCCCUCAGGUUUAAGGUCUAUUACAAUCUCAUACAACGUCUUUAAAACAUUUCACUUUCAUACAUCAUGUACCAUUUUAUUUCAAAAUAAUACAUCCGUUAGAUUUUCCGUCCAUUAACCUGUUAAAUGCUGACGUGGCUGCCACAUUUGUGCUGAUGUGGCUGCCAAAUGUGUGCCACGUGGCAAAAAUAAUAAUUUUUUAAUUUUUUAAAAAAAAACAUAAAUCUUCUAAAAUAAAAAAAUAAAAACCCAGAAGCUGAACAAAACCCCACCCCCGUGAACCCCCCUUAUCCUUUUUCUUCCCUGCUCCCAUCUUCCCACACCCCAUACCUGCACCAGAGAACAACCCAGAUCCCAUAUCCCCGCGAAACCCAUACCCCAUAUGACCACCCCCAACCCAUAUCCUAUUACCACGCCCCCCCGGCACGAAACCUAACCCAGAUCCCAUUACCACCCCUCCGACGCGAAACCCAUAUCCCCCCCCCCGAACUGCAAGGACGUCAUCCUCACCCGCAUCAUCUUCGUCGUCGAAGACGACAACGAGCAGGAGCAGCAGGGCGACAAUGAGAAAUCUCGGUCGACGACGAGAUCAGGUGGUGACGAAGGACCUCCAUGAGGAGCAGAGGGAUCAGAGAGAGAGCUCUGCGGUAUAGGCCGCGAUGCAGCGCAGGACCCAAAUUCACCGCCACGGAGACGACCAGAACGUUGAGCCCAUUCCGACCCAACCCCUCAUCCUCAAUCUCUUUUGGUUUAUAAAGAUAUUGACGACAAGGAUCGUAGUUUUGGGGUUAUUGAGUCGAAUUGCGAUGUGGGUAUGGAGGGUUUGGACCUCGAUUUGAGUUUAAGGUUAGGGUUGGGAUUGUUGUUUGGAUGGGGACCUCGAUCUGAUGUGGGUCGUCGCGGGGGGGGGGAGGUAGUAGGUCGUGUGGGUUUUCAGGUAGGUCGUACAAAGAAGGGGAUCUGGGUUGCGGGGAGGUGAGGGGGUGAAGGUGGGGUGUGGGUUUUCAUGUGGGUUGCAGAGAGGUGAGGGGGUGGGGGUGGGAUGUGGGGUUGCGGGGAGAAGAGAGGUGGAUGAGGGAAGGUUUCAAUUUUUUUUUUAAUUUUUUUUAUUAAUUUUAAUAUUUAGAAGAUUUAGGUUUUUUUUUUUUUAAAAAUUAAAAAAUUAUUAUUUUUUCCACGUGGCAGCCACAUCAGCACAAAUGUGGCAGCCACAUCAGCAUUUAACAAACUAAUGGAUGAAAAAUCUAACGGAGGUGUUAUUUUGAAAUAAAAUGAUAUUGGAUGUAUGAAAGUGAAAUUUUUUAAAGUUGUUGUAUGAAGUUGUAAUAGACCUCAAACCUGAGGGGCUACUAUGUAAUUUACCCUACUUUAAAUCAAGUAAAUUAUUUUAUAAAUAAGUUUAUAAUAAUUUAUAUAUAUUUUUUUUACAGAAAUUAGAUAAGAAUGUUCUUAAUUGGCUAAUAGAGAUAAAUACAAAGACCAAAUUAACCAAAUUGAAAACACAUGGAUUAAAUAGAAGACAAGAAAAGUGAGACGAGAAAUUUGGUUGAAUGUUUGCUCAAUAGAUAUAGCCAUAGGUUUGAAUAGACGUCUAGCAACCGAACAAGACUGCAACUAAAACAAACAUCGAAUGCUACAGAACUCACCUGUACCCAUUUGCAUCAGUGAACGUAAAGAUUGCAAGUCUUCGCUGCUCUCGAAGCACGAGUAUAAGCACGUAGCAAAGAUCGAAAGAUGUAUCAAACGCCCACCCGUAAUCCAGCAGAUAAAAUACAUUACAUAGUCCACUUGGGGCAACACCACACAUACGAUGAUAUAGGUAAAUAUUUGACUAGCUAGCAUAGCACUUGAGGUGCGAGCUUAACCAAAUCCACUGCACACAUUGUUUACUCAGACAUUCGAAAAAUAAUACAAAGACAAUUUUUCAUGGGAGAAGACUUUAACACACCAUUUUUCUCCACAUGCACACCCCACGCCUGUUACCGACUGUUUGAUCAAACGAAUAAAGAAAAUCAGCGAACAAAACCAAACAAAGGAUGCAAAUGGAGAAAAAUGGUGUGUAAACAUUUCCCUCUUUCUUUCCCUCAACACAGUAUUUCUUCGCAAGAGAAUCCUUAAAUAAACAAAAGGCAACUACUUGUCAACACAGCAAAAAGGUCCAAUUGUCACCUCGUAUGUCGAAAGCCACCUUAUUCGGUUGUGGCUUUUAUCUGAAAAAUAAGAAAAUAUCUGUGUCAGCAAGGAGGAUAGUUACCAUCAUGUUCCAGAUAAAUUUACCACUGAAACUACCUCUGUAUAAUUCAUUAUUCAUACAAGCUGUACAACAGCAGCCACUCUUAGGGCCCCGUUUUGGAGAAGAUCAGCAAGCUCGUCAAAUAGCAGAGCCGACCGCCAUCCCCAGCCCUUGGGAGCUUUUGGUAAAAGCGUGCCUGUUUGCUUGAAACUCCCAAACACCAUGACUUCCCUCUUUGAUGGGCAAAUUAACUGCAUCAUACAGGUAUAUGAAGCACGGAUUCAAUAUACAAGGUUCUGGCGUAACAUGAAAAUGGGCUAAGUUGACAAUGUUUGGUCACUUUGGAAUGUUACCUGAUAGCGGGCUGUAACCUUUUCACGAGAAUCAACAUACAUCUGCACCUGUUUUGGGCACAAACCGUAAAGUAUCAAUUAACAAUCAUAUGAAUCACAAAUGUGACAAAACAUACUCGUCAGCAAAACACAGUGAAAAAGGGUGAUCCUUUAAAUGUGAAGAUAAGAAGCAUUCUUCUCCAUAACUAAAAUAACCCAAUCAUGCUCGAACAAUCAAGGGAAGGCUGGCUAACCUUUCUGAAUGAAUCAGUAAUCUCUGCCUUACGUCGGUGAAUAAAUAAUCCUGAAAUAACAAAUAUAUGAUAUGCAUUCAGCUUAAGCAACAAAUUUAAAAUAUAAUUCAGAAAAGCAAAACAACAUGCUUCCAAGGUAUAUAUCAUUAAGCCAGGAACAGUACCAAGUGUUCGACGUCCUUGAGGAUCUUCAUCAUUAAAAGCCUGAACGCUAACCUAUAAAUUGGAACAGAAUACCCAUUCUGUCUGAGAGCAUGGAAAUUGGAAAUCGGAAAAGCAUCACCACAUAUGUAAAUCUUAUAUUGAAAAGAACAACAAGUUUGUACUCAAACACCUUCCAUAAAGAACCAGCAUAAAAGACUUCUGAAGAGUGCUUCACUUGGCCAUCACUAAGCCUGUGCACAUCCUCAAAUUGCACCCUGUAAAAAAAAGGGUGACUUGUAAUUAGUAGGACAGACAAUUGAGCAUGAUGACCAAUCAUUACAUCCACAUUAUAAUAUUGUUAAUGACAUUCGGACUUGAGCAGAUUCUGACUCAACCAUCCUCACACACACAAAAUCCAGUCCCAAGCAGAAAGGAAUUGCAUAAGUAGAUGUGCAAAGGCACUUAUAUAAUUAGGUAAUCAAUUUGUAAAGGAGACUUCUAAGCUAGUAGAUCAUAGGACAGCAUCCUAAAAAGAAUGUAUGAUUAUUAUUUUCCAAAGAGAGUUCAAAAUCUGAAGCGCAGGUGGAAAGGAGUAAUGGAAAGAGCUCACAUACCCAAAGCGGAAAGGAGGGAAGUGACUUAAAGGUGUUUUCAUAUCCAAUGAGAUGGAAGAACUGCUUGCAUUAUCCCACUCAAUCCCAAGCGCAUGGUCUGACGACUCUACCAUCUGAAUGGGUACACCACUAGUACUUGGCACCGACAUGGACGUUCCAGCCAUUCUGCUCUGCAUAUCCAUCUCAUAGCCUCUCUCUGUUUGCUCCCCAUGAGCAUUAGCUACAUUGUUCCCUCCUUGGCUUAGCCCAACUAAAGCUGUUAAUCCAUCUCCAGACAGGUCCCCAUUAUGGUCAGCUCUAGCCUCUGAAUCAUCAUUAGCAAGAGACUGCUGGCAAUUUCUGUUGCCCAUGCCAAAUGGCACACGGGAAAAGACAAACCGAGUUGGAGGCCAGGCAGUUGCUGGUACAAACGUAGUUCCGCGUCCGAUACCAGCAAGCCCAUCAACAGGACCCCUGACAUGCACACGUACAGGCCUAAAGAGACCAUUUCCUUCACCUGGGGCAGACUCAGCAACAUAUACACCAGGAGAAUUAUUCUGAUUAUGCUCUUGCAUGUAGUAUCCGGUAGUAACUCCCUGUGAGAAUGAAAAUUGCUGUCUGCAACUGCAAGCUAUAUUUGUAAGACAGCAAUUUUUGCACGUAUCAGCACCAACUUCUUGGACUCUCUGGCUUAAAAGCAUCUACAUGAUUGCAUACCAAACAAUUAAGUCAGUAAAAAAUAAACAGAUAGGUUUUCUUUGCAACAUAUUGAUAUUUAAACACACAUAGAAACAAAUAAGACAUCUCUUCAAAAGCAUAACCGCGGGCAACAAUGUGUGUAUGGAAGAAAGAGAUGCCUGGCUUUCUCAAGGUGAGAGGUGGGCAGAGAGCCCUUGCAGUCAGUCUGCCAGGGCCUGUAAAAAUAGUUCUUCGACUGAAGCAAUUUAUCAGCACUAUGGUUUAUAAGAUAUUUUCCAAAUGGUUAACUAUACCAGUUAAUAGGGAUAGCAUGUUAGACAUACAAAUUGCAUACCAAUCAAAAUUACUAUAAAAACUAGAUGCACCUUGUUUGUGCGCACAACCAAAACAUUAACAAAGUAACUGUAAUGAUUGCUCUUUCAUUUCCCCCACACUUGUUUAGCAAAAGAAAGAUGGACUUAAAAAGAAAACAGAUAUAGAAAGAAACCUGCAGCCAAAGACCAUCGUUUACAGCUUUGCAGGGGAACCCCAGUUCCUCAAGUUGCUUUCGUACAUUCAAAAGUGCCUCAAAAGACAUGUUGCAGUAUAAAAGAGAUCCGCCUUCAAAUAUAUUAACAAAUGCAUCAUAUUCCUCCCCACCCACCCCAAAGUUCCCUUUAGCAUAACCUUUAACCUGUCUUCUCCCUACAACCCUGCCACCCCAUGAAAGAGGAGGCAUGCCACAUCUUCCCCAAUCAUUUGGCAUGAGCUCACUAGUGGAAGAGUUCAUUGAAGAGCAUUGCCUUGACUGGUCCCUGGCAAACCAACUGUUGUUAUUUAAGUGAUAGCAUGAUCCUUCAUCAGAUGGCCCUUCCAUAGCCACUCCAUUUGCCCCCAGUCUACUUGCUCCAACACCAACUGGCAUUUCAGCAUAACAUGAGGUUCUCAUCACACCUAUUUCCGAUAGUGAAUUUUUUAAUGAUGAAGGACCACCCAUGCUGCAGUUGUAUCCUGGCUCCAAAUUGGAUUGAGGUUCCACAACUUGUUGGACUUGCUGUUUGGAAUUUGAAACUCUUGUUUGGAAAUCAACCACACAGUCUGCAAGCUCUAUCAAAAGACUACGAGCAGUAUUAUGGCCCUCUACGUCAUCUUUUAGGGUUAAGCGUCCGACUUCAGACUCCAACCUUUUGUUAGCAAAGCUAUCAAUCAGAUUCUUUCCCUUUGCGUUAGAAGAAUCAGAUGGAGUAUCCGUUCCUGCCUCAGAACUGGAACUUCCAUGAUCAUAGUCUUCCUGUUUGCUUUGAGCACCUUUUGCAAGGAAUGCAUAGAAUGCCAGCUCAAACCUUUCCACAAAGGAAAAACAAAGAACACAUCAAAAGGAACUCAAGCUGUGAUUAAUAAACCCGAGUUAGAGGCCGUCAAUGCUCCUUACCGUUUCUCUUCACUGGGUACCCACAGCUCAUCAGAGGUCAGCAAUGCAAGCAGGGUUUGAGCUGAAAGUUUUGGAAGCACCUGUCCAUGACCAUGUCAGGAAAUAGAAUAUGUAGCAGUAGGUUUGCAUUAACAAAACUGAAAAACCUUGAAAUAUACUUAAUCCUUAUAAAAUCAAAUAUACUGAGUCAUUGACAAUGGAUAGAUCCAAGAUCGUACCCAGUGCACAAGGCUCCCGCUUUACGCAAGGUCUGGGAGAGGUGAAUGUCGGCUAGCCUUACCUCCAUUUUAUGGAGAGGCUGCUCCCAAGUCUCGAACCCGAGACCUACCGCUCAUGGGCGAAGGCACUUGCCAUCGCACCAAGAGAGAAGAAAAAUUGAGAUAUGCUAUCAUAAUUAAAUAAAAUAACAGAGCUUAAGCCAUAUUUUUCUAGACUGGGCAAGGUUAAGUAUGCUAAUAUUGCAAAGAAAAACAUAUGUUCCUUCGGCAUCCACUGUUUUGUUCUUCUCUCUCAUCUUUUCUUAUGUUGUCAUGUUAUAUGAUCUCAAAGGAAAACAGAAGGAAGAAGAAAAUGUGUGCAAAACCCACAAGUGAUUACUACAAAAUAAGCACACCAUCUUUUACCUCUUUCAACUCCAUGGAACCACUUUGACAAAGGUAGCCCCAGCAAGCAUUUCUUACUCGUUCUCCAUGUAUGCCAUAAUCUUGGCUCUCUGCAAACACCUAAAAGCACAAGUAGGCAUUCUCAAUUACAAAAGAAAAUGGUAGCAUGUGGGUCAUACAUAAACAAAGAAGCGGCACAAGCAUUUCGAACCUGAUAGGCUAAGAAGUUUGAAGUCCAUAAUUCAGAUAUAAUGAAGUCUGUGCAUAUUGCACACAAAUCCUGCAUCAAAAGAACAUCAAGCCGUAACCUAAAUGCACAUAAAGGGACGGGACUUCUAGAGUGGAAAAGAAAAUAGUCACGCAAAGUAAAAGAAGAAAUCAAAACGAGAAAAUGAUACCUGAAGGUCAAGAAAAGAAGCGGCAGCCAAAACACGAAAUGCAUUGUUAUCAUUAAGCUUGGGGUGGUGACCGUACAGAUACGCCAAAGCCAUUGCAAUUGCUUCUCCGUUAACAUUCUUAUCGUCAAUAUGUAAGGUUAAAACGGGGGCACUGGCUUCUUUCCAAGGUCCAUGAAGCAUGUUCCUGCCAGACACAUUACAGUCCAGCAUAUGAAGAUUGCACAAGGUGAUUAGUAAGCACCUAAUUGCUACAUAAUUACGCGUGCAUUAUCGAAAACAAAAGUAAUUUCAUCAACUCCCCAUUGCCAAGCUCAAGCUUAAUAGUGCAAAUGCUAAUCUAGGUACUCUCCAUAUAUACAUACAUCCACAUAACUAUUCAAAUUAACAAUAAAACCCCACAAUUAUUAAUUCAACAUCAUCCAACAACGCCGAUGAAGCCGGCGAGGGGGCGAAUUCAAGUUGCAUUUUGGUAAAUUGACAAAGGGGGUUUAGGGAAUUGGGGACAACGGACCUGAAGUAGGGGCUGCGGGAGAGAAUAAGGCGGUGGAGGUGGUAGGUGGAGCCCAUGGCGUGGACGACCAUAUCGGAGAAGGCACCGGAAUUGAAGCCCUCCGUCUGUAUGUGGUCGCAGAGGGCGGUGAGGUUGCAAUCGAGCGCGCGCAGCUCGCCAGUGGACCGGUCGUUGUCAGAGUGCUGCGAGGGCUGAAUCGUCAUUUUCAUCUGCGGCCCGUACGAUCGCGCCGGCUUGGUCGGGUAUUGCGGGUCCAUGUGAGCCGCAGUACCACUGGAGUUCUUCCGAUUGCGAAGUCUAUGAGAGUGUCGAUGGGAGUGAGAGACCGGUGUUAGGCAUCAGAGAGACGGAGUUUGUUGAUGCGCUGCCGUUGUUACUUGGUGCACACGAGAAACGCGACAUGGAUGGGCGUGGGUCGGAUCCGCUUGAAUUGACCCGUUUAGCUCGCCCCGAACCAUCUUCGUAUAUUUUUCUUUCAUGGCAUGUUUACGUAGAAUAAUCGGAAUAAAGAAAGGGAAUUGAAUUCCGAUUACGGAGUAUUUCGGUGUUAAAUAAAUAUUAAGGAAUAAAAAAAGUGGUGGAGCCCACACGAAACAAGGAAUCCAAUUCCUGAAAUUGGAGGAACCAGAUUUCCUAGUUUUGUGAAGUAUUUGAAUUCCCUGAGGGCAAGGGAAUCGGAAUGCAUCUUUUAUUCCAAUUAUGCUCUCAAUUGUUUCUUAUUAUCCCAACAUUGCCCUUCAUUUGACACUCAUUAUGUCAUUUUUAAUAAAUAAAUAAAACAUAUUUUUAUAUUUUUAUAUAGAUAAUUUUAUUAUAUAAAUUUAAUUAAGAAUUUAAUUUAAUUAAUUAGUAUGAAAAUAAUUUAUUUAUGUAAGGGCAAUUUAGUCAUCAACUUAGUUUUCAUUCCGAUUGAAGUGAAUUAGUAAACAACUUAUAUGGACUCAACAUCAUUCUUGCCAUCUUUUAAUAAAUAAAUAAAACCUAUUUAUACAUGCUUAUAUAGAUUAAUUUUAUUAUAUAAAUUUAAUUAAGAAUUUAAUUUAAUUAAUUAGUAUGAAAAUAAUUUAUUUAUGGAAGGGCAAUAUAGUAAUCAACCUAGUUUUCAUUCCAAUUGAAAUGAAUUAGUAAACAACUUAUAUGGACUCAACAUCAUUCCUACUCCGAUUCCUGACAGUUUUAGUAAACAACUUCAACAGGAAUCUUAUUAUGAUUCCACCUAAUUUCAAUUCAUCCUCAAUCCAAUUCACCCUCAAUCCAAUUCCUCUCAAUUUGAUUACGGAUUAGUAAACGCGCACUCAGUAUAUUGCACAAACACCACGUGGAAGAUAUUUUUGGCAAUUCCACACCUACAAGGCUACACACACCUAUUUUAAUGUGGAUGUCAAUAUAGUAAGGGGUGUGAUAUCCACACAUCCUUUUUUACUUCUCCCACACCUUUUUGGUUUUCAGCCAUCGGAUUGGAUGAAUGGAAAAAGAUCAAUUGACAAAAAUUAACAAGGUGUAUGUGAAGUAAAAAAAGGUGUGUGGAUAGCACAUCCCUAUAGUAAUAUACCAUCUACGUCUAAAUUUUGAUUAAAAUUCACUCAUUACACAUCACGUGACACAUGGGCCUUUCAAACCAUUUUUUAAACAUUGAUGACCUAAGGUGAAAAUCAAUCAUGUUGAAGUAAACUCGUGCUAACAUAUCUUUUUUCUUUCACAAAGCUUUAAAAAAAUUAGAUUUCAAAAGAACUUGAAGUAUCAAUUACAAGGGCAAAAUUGGUUGUGCUGUAGUCUAGCCCAAAUUUGGUGAAUAAUAAUUAGUAGGUAUGUUAGACACUGCUAGUUAGGUUGAUGUAUUCAUCGGAAUUUUGAAUUCGCUUUAGAUACAGAAUCAGUGACUACAACUCAGUUAGGAAUAUGAUGAUAUGUCAUAUUUCUUAUAAUACAAAAUGUUGUCGUUUAAAGAUUUGUCUGGCUUUGCCUUGCUAUCCGGUUUAUUUUUGUUAGGAAGCUAAAACCAAAUGCCUAAUAAAAAAGGAGGUAAUGCUCUAAUGCUACGUAUCAUCCAAGUUAAAACCAAAGCAACCCACCACUAUAGAUGGUGGGUUGUUUUGUGGCCAUCUUAUGGUCAUUCGAGCUAUCACAAAAAUACUUAUAUUUUAUUAGCACUCCAUAUAUUGUUGAAUAAAUCCUUUGAAAAUCAAAUACAACAACAUCGAUCAUUAAACGGCUCUCUCUCUCUCUUUGUUUCUCUCUAGAAACCCAAAUCCACAAGCUCCAUCACCAACUUCAAGCUCAGCCACCGACCCUUACUUUUGCUCAAGGUAGGCAGUAGCCCACUACUAUUUCUUCCCUCCUCGUUCCCUCAUUCCCUUCCCUUCUCUCUCUUCUGCCUUUUCCAUCUUUUUCCUUCUCUCUCAUCUCAUCUGCUUCAUCCCCUUCCCUGCAUCCACCUCUUCUUUCUCUCCCCUUUCUAGUCUCCUCAAUUCGUUUUUAUUCCUAGUUUUCGCCUGAGUUUAUGUUAGUUUCCAUUGAGUCGAGUCUCAACUAUCCCCUGAGCUUGUCUCAUAUUUGGGUUUCAUGCCCCUUACCUGGCGUUUUCGCCUACUUUUAUGGCUUUCUGCCUUUUAAUUUUAUUUUCUCCCUCAUCCUUAGUAGUGAUACUCCAUCCCCAUCCCACCAUGUACUUGGAUGGGCAGGCUUCGAUCCGAAAUUGGAUUUUAUAUCCACUACCCUCCUUCAUUUUCCCUCAUUCAACUGGCAUGUCGGAUCUCCAUCGAGACCAAGUGUUGGGUAUUUUACAUACCCCCUUAGCCUCACUCUCUAUCCAUAUGAUAUUUUGUUUGUAUAUAUUUGCUCUAUUCUCUCAGUUCGAAGUUUGGCUUCCUCCUAGGAUGUGGCGGCGGUGGCGGUAUGACUUAUGUUGCUUGAGACUAGGGUUUUUUGUUGUUUGUUAUCGCAGCCUACGUGCCUAAGUUUGUAAGGGCCUCCCGUUGUAUCUUGGGUUGCUGUUCUCACUUUGCUUGGGCCUUUUACUUUAUCUGCUAUAGUUUAUCGGGUUCCUUUUGGGCCUUGUAUUAGUUUUUAUUGUAAUGAAAGUUUAUAUUGACAAAAAAAAAACAUUUGAAAAUAUGCAUUAAAUAACUUAUAUACCUUUUUUUUUUUAGGGAAUUGUUAUUAGCACUCCAAAUUUUCUAUAAUUAAAAAGAAAAAAUACAUUUUUAAAGAGUGUGUAAUGAGAUUUUUUAAGUGCUAAUAACAAUUCUUGUGCAGCAGUGUUCUAUUUGCAACUCAUAUGCAUCCUUUUUCAUAAUUUCUCAAGUUCCACAGGUACUUGUUGCAUUUGACUAAAUACUUGUGGAUGCAGGUAUAGAGUAUCAAAUUUGUCUCAGGUGCAAGAUAUCGAAGAAACCGAGUUAUAAUUGUAGCAUUAACUUCAGUAGCAGUUAUUCAGGAGCAUGAGUUUAGUUUCGAGAACCAUCGAUGCUUUAAUAUAGUGUUUUGCCAAUUGUUCAGGUUACUUGGUGUUGAGAAUUGAAGAUGUGUGUUGGAGUUAAUGACCCUCACUGGUGGACGCACGCCUCCCCAACCAUUAGAGGACCUUUAUUGUCUGUUACAGUAGAUGAAAUCAAACUCUUGACCUAGAGAGCAAAUUUUUUGUGUUGUAUGGCAAAUUGCCUAUGUUGGAUAUAGUUGUUGGGCGCCCAUACUGGUGAAUAACCACACAUUUUCCCUUCAUAUGAGUAUGGUCUCUUAUUUCGCAAUUCAAAAUGCUUUACAAUUUAUGUUAUAUAACUAUGUAAAGCCAUAUAUUGCGGAUUUGAUGAUGAUCAUCAUUCUAUAUGCUAUUGGGAAUUGGGAAAGUUGAUACAUUGGUCAGUUUGAUUUGGACGGUUUUUGCGAUAUAAUUGAUCGCUUACCCCGUACCCUUGGGGGUUAUUGUGUUCAACCCGUCAUGUGCGGCCCAAGACACAAGAUUUCGGGUGUCUGGGCCUUACAUGCGAGAGAGUCUUUUGUUUGGACACCUGACUAAGGGCAAAAGACAGGGGGUGGGACCUGAAAGUGGGCUAUGGUGAGCCUGCAAAUAAGAGAAGUAGGUAGGAAAAUUGCAUAAUUUGGAUGCCAAACCAUAGAAUUUCUCCUUACGUGCAAAUGUGAGAUAGGGAAACUUUUUGUUUCAAAGUCGGAGGAAUAUGUUAAUCCAACCAUCGGACUUCAGAAUUUCUCCUUACCCUAGGCCCCCCAAACAUCAAUUGCCUUUUCUCAUGAGGACUUCCAUGGUAAAAAGGACUAGGAUUAUCUCUUCUUUUCCUUCCAUCCCCUCCUCUCACAUUUUAUAUUUUAUCUUUCUCUUUCUAUAUAAAAUUAAUAAAUUAAUAUAAGAUGUUAACAUAGCUUAACCGUGACUGUUCAAAUAGGAAGGGAGGGAUGAGAAGGAAAAAAAAAAAAAAAGAAUCCUACUCCUAGUAAAAAAAAAAACAUCGACUUCAUGCCACGUAUCUUAAUACAGCAGACUCUAGUUCUUAAUACGGCAGACUCACUAGAGUAUAAUCCGUUUUGUUGAAUGUGACCGUUACAAAAGGGAAGGUCCAACGGAGCUUUCUACCGCUUUUCAAAUUUUAAAAUUAAAAAUUAAAAAGGUAAACAAACAAUUUCUUCCCCUACUUUCUUUAUCUCUGUCACACAGACCAACCCUCAUUCAUCAUCGAAACCCAGAGAUUUUCAAUCUCAAUCUCACAUCUCUUUCUCUUUCUCUUCUAUCUUCUUUGCUCCGUCACCGCGUUCGGUCUCCGAUUUCAAUGGCAAUGGCUCUCAGACCCAUCGACAAUGCUCUCCCAACCACACCGGAAAGACCCAAAAAGCAAACCAAAGUUGCUGUUCCUAUGCAAAAGCAGCAAUCCGGCCUCGUAAAUGACGAAAAUCAGGCUCCGCUUCCUGCAACCGCGGAUUUCGCCAUCGAUUACAUCUCCUCUGAGAAUCUCAAACCCAUCUCAGACCCGGAUCUCAAGAUCCAGGUAAUUCUCUCUCAUUGGAUGUCCCUUGCACGCGAAUUCGACUCCCUUCAUCUGUGUAUUAAAGUAAUUUAUUUGAAAUUUCAGAGCUUGAGUGAGGGAUUCGAAUCAAAGGAUUGGGUAAAGGUGUGUGAGUCUCUGAACAAUGUUAGGCGUUUUGCACUCCACCAUUCUGCUCUUCUGGCUCCUACUCUGUGAGUGCUUUUCUUCUUAGUUCCAACUUUCGAUUCUCUGCUGUAACAAGUCCACUAAAACGACGUCAUUUUUGUAUGUACAGAGAGAAUGUUGUAGUGGUGCUGGUGAAGGCAAUGAAGAAUCCGAGAAGUGCCUUAAUCAAGACCUCGAUUAUGGCUUCUUCCGACAUCUUCACCGCCUUUGGUGAUGGUUUACUUGACUCCGCAGCCUCUAAUGCAUUUGACCAAUUGGUGUGCACCCAAACUUUUCUUGUUUUCUUAAAUUUAGGGAUCGUUUGACAACAAUUUCGUUUUCAUUUUUUUUAUGUUCUGAUGAACGGCUUGGAUUGUUCAAUGGGUUCACAGCUGCUGCAAUUGCUGCUCAAGGCAUCUCAAGACAAACGUUUUGUGUGUGAAGAAGCAGACAGGGCACUGAGCUCAAUGGUGCAGUCCUUGACCCCUCUUCCUCUGCUUCAGAAGCUCCGAGCUUACGCUUCCCAUGGCAACCCCAGAGUCAGAGCCAAAGCUGCCGUUUCCAUCGCAUCUUGUGUCGCCAAGAUGGUAUAUACUAUGAAACCAAAAUGUUCUCUUGAGUUUUGACGUUGGACAUGCCAUUUUUCUUGUUAACCUUGUUAUGGAAAAUGGGAAUUUGGUACCGAUUUUCAGGGCCUUGAAGGAUUGAAGGAUUAUGGGCUGGUUUCUCUGGUACAAAAGGCUGCAGAUUUGUUGAAUGAUAGGCUGCCCGAGGCGAGAGAAGCAGCGCGGGGAAUUGUGAUGUCGGUAUACAAUGCCUAUACAGAGAAUGAAGAGGAGAAGCUGCGGGAAAAUGAAGAGGAGAAGCCGGAGAAGCAGGAGAUUUGGUUAAGCUUUUGCCAGUCUAAUUUGUCAACAAUUCAUGCUCAGUCCAUGGUCAAAAUUACUUCUUCUCAGUAGAAAGGUUAGAAGAAGACGGUGGAUUAGGGGUUGGGUUUUGCUGGUAGUAGAAGCUAAUAGUGGGAGUGCUAGUUUGGUUUGUGAUUCUGCUGGUAGCUUUUUAGCUGCAGUUAGAGUUUGAGAGUGCUAUGAAUUUACAUCUUCCAGCUUCGUCUAAAAGCUGUUUUUACGUAAUUUUAUGUUGAUGAAUUUCUUCGUUUAAUAAAAUUUUCGUUCUUGAUAAUAUCAAGAUAGCCGACCGACCCCACUUAGUGGGAAAAAAACUUUGUUGUUGUUGUUGUUGUUGUUGUUGUUGAUAAUAUCAGAAAUAGCGAAAUAGUUGCAGAACGGUAGUAAUUUACCAGCAGUGCAAGUAACCAAACCAACCCCUCUCCGACUGUCUCAAAGAAUAUCUUUGAGAUCUACAGGGAAGCAAGCGGGCGGUUAUAUACAGGGCGACUCAAAGACUUCACUGUAAAGAAAUUUUCAGCUGUGUUCUGGUGUCUGCGAUUAGAACGUGCCACAAUGAAAGUCAGCAAAUAAUUUCACCAAAAAUCGAAAUCAUUUCAGCUCUCUUCCCACAAUAUAUUGUCUCUCAGUACGAACAAAUACAUGGAUUCCUACAGUUGAACUAUUUCCUAUUCAUUUGAAAGAAGAGAAAUAUCACACGACAGAAAUACGAAAAUCUCUGUAACUGCAUUUCACUAUAUUUUCCUACAACGGGGUCAUUCAACGCUUCCCUUGCAUGUUACCAAAACCACGAGGAGACCUUCGCUUGAGAUCAGCAGACCCAAGCCAUCGUAAUAUCAGGAAUGUGGCAGAACUCUGAAACCAAAAGCAUUCCUGAUUGGCGGAAGAACUCUGAAAGAGGAAAAAAGUCUAAGCACUUCACUCUUGUUCAACCAGAGAGCGCAACGCUGUCUCAACUUCUUCAAAAGGUUGCCCGGCAUACAGCUGAAGCUGCCCUCUCUUCACAAAAAUCAGCUUCAUGUUAUCUGACUUUAUGGCUUCGCGAAGUUCCUGCAAAACAUAAAGUUGCUUUAUCAUCUUAACACUGAUGACUUGAAUGAAGAAAAAUGCAUGUCUAAUGGGAAAAAUUGUACUUUGAACACUUUUAAAAGUUGAAACGCCGACUCCUUUGUCCUCAUGCAAUGUUCAGCAGCUUCAGACUCAUAAAUAUUGAGUAAAAGUAUGAGUAAGUUUUGUGAAAUCAAAUUAGAAUUAUUACUUUGUUUGGUAAAGGAACAAUAUCAGCCCUGAAAUCACCCAGAUCUUCGAAAAAAGUUUCCAAUAGUAUACAGAAGUUAUUGGCAUCAGUGCGGUGUUCGAAAGCGACAGUAUAGGAAAAAUCACUCUGGCUUUGGUGCUGAGAACUGAGCUUUAAGGUAUAGAGUCCGCCUUGCCCCUCGCUACCAGAACCUCUACGGAUCAUAAUAACCUGACAUGGGAUACAUAGCAAUUUGACUGUUAGUUGGAGACAAAAAGCUUACCCAAAUACCAAAAUAAGACACAAAAAGAAGAGCUUAUUGAUCCGAUAAGUAAAACUUGUGAACGUAAUUCAUAACGGAGCAUAAAAGGGAAAAUAUACAACUAAAAUGGCAUAACUAUAGAAUGAGUGACUGAAUCAUAAAGCAUAAGAUAAAGAUUGCAAGUAUCCAUUUUAUGACAGCAUCAAUGAGUGCUUAAAGUUAAAUAGUUGGCUAAGAUGAUUUGGUCAAAUGCAACAAAGUUCAAUUGCUAAACAGGCAGCACAACUUAUAAAAAAAUGUAAAGAUAGAAAACUACGAAAGAAAAUUAAGAAAAGUUUCGGGAUAUACCAGAACAUAAGGAAGAUCCAACCACCACGGAUCAAUAUCAUUCUUUGAUCGAUUGCCACUGACUUUGUUAGCCACUGGUUCCUUUUCAGCUUCUUUGUUUUUUGAACUGCCAUUUACACUCAAUACAGCAUUAUCACCAGAUUUUAUGGUAGUUUCCUGAAUUUCUUUCUUUGAGGAAGACUUUUUCUUCCCCAACGCCCUUGAUUUUCUUGACUUUACUCCUUCAGAGGACUUCCCUCGUCUUUUCUUCUGGACGGUACCUACAAAGUUUAACAAAUUAAUAACAGAGCCAAGCUAACAACGAAGUAUGCAGUCUUUGUGCAAUUCAAAAGCUUUACCAUUUUGUGGCUCAAUAGUUCCAGCUCCUAUGUCGUUUCCGCUAUCCAUACUCCGAGUUCCUUUCUCCAAAUGGUUCCCGUCAUUUUGCAACUUGGGUUCGUCCUCUACGGUCUUGGAAACACCUUGUCCAAUAUCACUCUCUCGCUGGUUUUCACCAUUAUCCGAAUCCAACAAUUCUUUACCAUCACUACCAACACUUGCAUCUCCCGCCACUGUAUCUACACCGCCCGAACCUCUCUUUAUCCUCCUAGAUUCACCAUGCUCAUCCAAACCCCCAAACCCCUUGGGAUUGCUUUUCGCUUCGGCCUUAAACUUGACCUUUUUCUUAAACAGCAAUGUCCCAUCCUCCUCUUUAGAAUUCCCAUCUUCUACUUUCUCAUUCUUUUCCAUAUUACUCACAUAUGGACCCUGCAACUUCUCCCUUUUAGAAUUCAAACUCCUCUGCAACCUAACCAACCGCUCUCCGACCUCUUUUUCGAUGCCUAUUCUAUUCCUUGCAUCAGAAAUAUCAUCUUCAUCACCGAUACUUCCCUUCUUCAACUCCCUUUUCUCCGACUUUCGUGCUUCCCUCGCCAUUGCUCUAAUUUCCUCUAUCCUCUCGUCCAAUUGUAUCUCGUCCAAAGAAAUCACAUUGCCCAAUUCAGACCCAACAUUCGAAUACAAAGCUUUCCCUUUCGAUUUGCUUAAAGUUUUCGACUUCCCAGUUUCCUGAUCAGGAUUAUCAUCUCCCAGCAACCAAACAGUAAAAAAAGCCUGAAACAAAUAAGCCCCAACCACAUACGCCCCAAAUUUAAGGACGGACUUGGCAGAAAAUUUACCAACAAUGCCAUUUUGCUCGGGGGUCGUCACAGACACGCUCAGUUCUUCAACUGUAUCGCCUUCUGCGGCAACGACGUCGCUUCGGUCAGAGCUAAGUUCGGUAUUGGAGUCGUUCUCGGAAGGAGUUACCGGGGACUCAAUGGGAAUUACAGGCUCCGUCGGGGGUAGUUCGGGAAGGAGAGGGGUUUUGGGUGGCGGGUAGGGUCGAGUUAGGGUUUUGAGGAUUUUGGGGCGCAAAUGGUUUCUCCGUCGGGUGGGUUUUGACGGUACGGAAACGGAGGCUGAGAGGAUUGGUUUGACUGGUUUGGCGGUGGAGUGGAUUGGGUGUGCGAUGACAAGGGAGGUGGCGCAGUGCGCACCCGCCAUUGGUGGUUCAAGAAAGGAAAGGAAAGGAAAGGAAAUGCUGCUUUGGUUUGAAUUUCAGCUGGAAACUGUAUUUGGAGGGGCUGGUGCGAGAUAAUUUGCGCCAUGUGUGAAUGUUUGGGAACUUAGCAGGUGAACGGUCAAAGUCCUAAAAGCCCAUUGACUGAAGGAAUGGGUGUUGUCAUAUUGUGGGCCAAUCUUUUCUUUUGUAGUGGCCCAAUAUUUUAGUUCCUUUCAAGGUGAGCCCAUCUAAUUUCUAAACCCAAUCCACAAAGGAGUGAUUCUCUUAACUUUUAAUCUCUCUCUCAUUCUCUUUCCCGUAUUUAAAGGGUUACGAAUAAGACAUGUUACAUCUUGUGUUGACUUUUUUUAUAGAGAGAAAGACGAAGAGGAAAGUGUGAAAGAAGGGGAGGGAAGGGGAUAGAAUUAUGAGGCGAGGAGAGCGAAUGAGAUAGAAUUAGGAGAGAAGAUAAUCCCACUUAUAGACAAAAGGACGAAAAAAGAAAAAAUCGAAGAGAGAAUUCACUUUGUCAACUAAAGAUAACGUCUUUUAACAUUAAAAAAGUUGUAUCAAUAACGAGUUUGUAACCAAUUUAUUCCCUACCCUUUAGUGUGAUUAUAUCAAACUUUGAAAAUUAUGGAUUUUUUUACCACAAGAUUGAGGAUUUGGAACUCAAAAUUCUAAUAAUUUUUGUUUUGUGUUAAUCCGGUGUUAAUCUAGUUAAUGGUGAAUUCAAAAAGUUUUCUUACUGAUUACAAGAUGAAAUUCGCACGUCACUUUACGUAGUUGUUAUUAGCUCCUUUCCCUUGCUUAUUCUCUUUAAUGUAAUGGCUACAUAGUAGCUUUCCUUAAAGAGAGCAUCAAAAGAACAUUGUGAAAUGACAUGAACUUUUAUGUAGACCCGCCAAGUUUUAUGAAGUUAGUAUUAAGUGUCCAAUUACUAGUUACAACUUAGUUUGAGAUGGUUACAUGUAUUAAUGCACAUUUACCAUCUCUAAUAGGAAGCUUAUAUUUGGAGCACCCAUUGUAUAUUUUUAAGUCAAAUGUGUGAAGUUUUAUUCAGAGCAUAAAAAAAAUAGAAAGUAAAUAAAACGACAAAAAUUUUGUACCGAAUUUAACACUUUUAACUUUUGAUGCAUUAGAAUGCGGUUGUGGAUGCUGAAGUCCCAAAUUAUAGUGUAGCAAUUAACAACCCGAGAAUCCAUCAUUGGAUAAGACCUAGCAUUAAUUUGGAUGAUAAUAAUGUUUUGUCAAAUUUAUAUGGAGUAAAAGAAAUGAAUUUUGGAAACAGAGUAUAUCAAUUGCUUUGUAAUUCGUCAUAAUACGUAUGUAAGAGUAGAAAUUAUCUUUGUUUAAUCAUAAAAAUUUGACCGCUAUCCACAAAUACAUGUAUAUAUAACCCCAAAUAAAUAUGACUCUAUGUUAGUUCAAGUCCCAGAGAUGAUUCACAAGAAGCAGCUCUCGCGGCAAAACGUUUUGAGCGUUAAAGUCCCACAUCGGCCGUGAGAGAUAAUUGAGCAAGCAAACAGGCGUAUAAAAUGAACACUCCAGCUCGUUUCUGAUCAUACCUUUCUCGGCCUUUUGGCUAAGAUCAAGUGUAGUAUCUGUUCUUAUCAGUUUAAUAUCUGAUACGUGGAUCAAUGGUCCACACGAUAUUAAAUAAUUUUUCUGGGAGGAAGGUCCAUCACAGUAGCUUGCUACUGGGAUCUUCGCGUGUCGCCCUAGUGUUGCACUACUGCUAGGGCUGGCGCACUCCACCAAAACGAGUAAAAUUUCUAAAUUACUGUAUUUAUAAUUUUGAAGUUCUGUCUCAAACAAGGCGAACUUCAAUUUAUCAUUGUAAGGAAAUUUUGUCUAACUUCUGUGUGUUCAUUUGGAGUUAAAAAAUAAAUUAAUAAAUAUGAUUAUUCUCUCGGUAAUCCGUCUCAACCGCAUUAUUUUCUGUCCAAAUUUCAACUUUUCACGAAGUCGCAAAACCCAAAUGAAAAAGAAAGCAGAAAACUCAAACAAUUUCUUCUUACCAAAGAAAGGCAGGACGGCGGAUAGGAUAUGAACAUAUCGUUUGGGACCAUACUCAUUUGACCCAUCUCGUUGAACCAUUAGUCAUUUGCAGAAACCGACGCCAGAUCUGACCAGCGAGAGAGGAGAGAUUUCAGAGGAGUCGAGCGCGGUUGUUGCACAGAGGGGAUGGAGGCCAUGGUCCAUGGAGAUAUCGAACGACAAGUCCGUUGUCGUUGCCAAUGGCGGUGGUAGCCAGGCUGUUGCCAGCGGCGGCGACGGUUGCGAUGUCGCUACAGCUGAAAGAAGAAGCUAAAGAUAAAGAAUUGGAUUGUACUGAAAAAACGACGGCUUAGCGCCAUUGUCGGUGAUGGCCGCAUGCCUAAAGGCGAAGAACGAGAUUUGGGCGGCUGCGUUUGGGAAUUUUUUUGGUUUCUAGUUGGGAUAAGGGUUCCCCAUAUGUUCUGGAAGUGUUGUGGCACAAUUUGUGACGUGUCGAAUUAGGAAGUCCAAAUGGGCAAUGAAGUGGGCCCCGCGAUGGUCAUGUAGUCAAUUAAUUGAAAAUGUAACAAAUGUAUGACAUUGAAAUGAAAUUGUGAGUAUGCAUGAAAUUGUAUGUUUUAACGAAGAAAUUGUAAUGUUUUAAAUCUUAACUUUGUAGACAAAUUGAUGUGUCUGCUGCAGUAUAAAAUUCUUUAUGCUAAUUGUUCACAAAUUCAAUGGUUUAGCUAUUUAGACUCGGCGCUUUUGUAAGAAACUUUUGCUGUUUACAAGCAUUUUAGUCCCACAUCGACCAAAAACAAAGAAAGCGUGUUUUGAAAGUGAAAUCAGGCUUCUUAACAAUUUUCUCGGCCUUCAUAAUCAAAAGAAAUUGAGCAUGUUUCCCAUCUCUUCUCGAGAAACAAGUGGGUUAUGAUAAAUUGUGCUCAAAUUCAUAUGCGGCAAUUCCGUCGAUAUCUCUUCUUUAGUUGGAGGAAGAAUCCGCACGAAUCGGAUAUUUUUUGAGGAACAUAUAUAGAGAGAAUUGGUUACAUAAUGUGUGGUUGUUAAACAAGUAUCGGUUUUUUAGCAAAGUACGGAAUGCAUCGUCAAAUAUUCAAUAUGAUUCCACAAGAUCUAAUUUCGUUCAAGUUACGGAUUCUCUUACCUUUUAAGGUGAGCCCAUCUAAUUUCUAAACCUAAUCCACAAAGGAGUGAUUCUCUAACCUUUUAAUCUCUCUCUCAUUCUCUUUCCCGUAUUUAAAGGGUUACGAAUAAGACAUGUCACAUCUUGUGUUGACUUUUUUUAUAGAGAGAAAGACGAAGAGGAAAGUGUGAAAGAAGGGGAGGGAAGGGGAUAGAAUUAGGAGGCGAGGAGAGCAAAUGAGAUAGAAUUAGGAGAGAAGAUAAUCCCACUUAUAGACAAAAGGACGAAAAAAGAAAAAUCGAAGAGAGAAUUCACUUUGUCAACUAAAGAUAACGUCUUUUAACAUUAAAAAAGUUGUAUCAAUAACGAGUUUGUAACCAAUUUAUUCCCUACCCUUUAGUGUGAUUAUAUCAAACUUUGAAAAUUAUGGAUUUUUUUACCACAAGAUUGAGGAUUUGGAACUCAAAAUUCUAAUAAUUUUUGUUUUGUGUUAAUUCGGUGUUAAUCUAGUUAAUGGUGAAUUCAAAAAGUUUUCUUACUGAUUACAAGAUGAAAUUCGCACGUCACUUUACGUAGUUGUUAUUAGCUCCUUUCCCUUGCUUAUUCUCUUUAAUGUAAUGGCUACAUAGUAGCUUUCCUUAAAGAGAGCAUCAAAAGAACAUUGUGAAAUGUCAUGAACUUUUAUGUAGACCCGCCAAGUUUUAUGAAGUUAGUAUUAAGUGUCCAAUUACUAGUUACAACUUAGUUUGAGAUGGUUACAUGUAUUAAUGCACAUUUACCAUCUUUAAUAGGAAGCCUAUAUUUGGAGCACCCAUUAUAUAUUUUUAAGUAAAAAAUGAGAGGUUUUAUUCAGAGUAUAAAAAAAAUAGAAAGUGAAUAAAACGACAAAAAUUUUGUACCGAAUUUAACACUUUUAACUUUUGAUGCAUUAGAAUGCGGUUGUGGAUGCUGAAGUCCCAAAUUAUAGUGUAGCAAUUAACAACCCAAGAAUCCAUCAUUGGAUAAGACCUAGCAUUAAUUUGGAUGAUAAUAAUGUUUUGUCAAGUUUAUAUGGAGUAAAAGAAAUGAAUUUUGGAAACAGAGUAUAUCAAUUGCUUUGUAAUUUGUCAGAAUACGUAUGUAAGAGUAGAAAUUAUCUUUGUUUAAUCAUAAAAAUUUGAUCGCUAUCCACAAAUACAUGUAUAUAUAACCCCAAAUAAAUAUGGCUCUAUGUUAGUUCCAAGUCCCAGAGAUGAUUCACAAGUAGCAGCUCUCGCGGAUAAACGUUUUGAGCGUUAAAGUCCCACAUCGGCCGUGAGCAAUAAUUGAGCAAGCAAACAGGCGUAUAAAAUGAACACUCCAGCUCGUUUCUAAUCAUACCUUUCUCGGCCUUUUGGCUAAGAUCAAGUGUAGUAUCUGUUCUUAUCAGUUUAAUAUCUGAUACGUGGACCAAUGGUUCACACGAUAUUAAAUUAAUUUUUCUGGGAGGAAGGGGUCCAACACAGUAGCUUGCUACUGGGAUCUUCGCGUGUCGCCCUAGUGUUGCACUACUGCUAGGGCUGGCGCACUCCACCAAAACGAGUAAAAUUUCCAAGUUCUUGUACUUGUAAAUUUGAAGUUCCGUCUCAGACAAGGGGAUCUUCAAUUUAUUCUUGUGAUCAACAACGUUAUAUAAAAUUUCCAGUUCCGUCAUAAGCAGAGGGAAAUUUUCUCUAACUUCUGUGUGUUCAUUUGGAGUAAAAAUUAAAUUAAUAAAUAUGAUUAUUUUCUCGGUAAUCUGUCUCAACCGCAUUAUUGUGUCCGAAUUUCAACAUUUCACGAAGUCGCAAAUUGAAUUCAAAACCCAAAUUAAAAAGAAAGCAGAAAAAACCCAAACAAUUUCUUCUUACCAAAAAAAGUCGGGCGGAUAGGAUAUGAACAUAUCGUUUGGGACCAUACUCAUUUGACCCAUCUCGUUGAACCAUUAGUUAUUUGCAGACACCGACGCCAGAUCUGACCAGCGAGAGAGGAGAGAUUUCAGAGGAGUCGAGCGCGGUUGUUGCACAGAGGGGAUGGAGGCCAUGGUCCAUGGAGAUAUCGAACGACAAGCCCGUUGUCGUUGCCAAUGGCGGUGGUGGCCAGGCUGUUGCCAGCGGCGGCGACGGUUGCGAUGUCGCUACAGCUGAAAGAAGAAGAAGCUAAAGAUAAAGAAUUGGAUUGUACUGAAAAAACGACGGCUUAGCGCCAUUGUUGGUGAUGGCCGCACGCCUAAAGGCGAAGAACGAGAUUUGGGCGGCUGCGUUUGGGAUUUUUUUUGGUUUCUUGUUGGGGAUAAGGGUUCCCCAUAUGUUCCGGAAGUGUUGUGGCACAAUUUGUGACGUGUCGAAUUAGGAAGUCCAAAUGGGCAGUGAAGUGGGCCCCGCGAUGGUCAUGUAGUCAAUUAAUUGAAAAUGUUAUGACAUUGAAAUGAAAUUGUGAGUAUGCAUGAAAUUGUAUGUUUUAACGAAGAAAUUGUAAUGUUUUAAGUCUUAACGUUGUAGACAAAUUAAUGUGUCUGUUGCAGUAUAAAAUUCUUUAUGCUAAUUGUUCACAAAUUCAAUGGUUUAGCCAUUUAGACUCGGCGCUUUUGUAAGAAACUUUUGCUGUUUACAAGCAUUUUAGUCCCACAUCGACCAAAAACAAAGAAAGCGUGUAUUGAAAGUGAAAUCAGGCUUCUUAACAAUUUUCUCGGCCUUCGUAAUCAAAAGAAAUUGGGUAUGUUUCCCAUAUCUUCUCGAGAAACAAGUGGGCUACGCAAAAUUAUGCUCAAUUUCAUAUAUGCGUCAAUUCCGUCGAGAUCUCUUCUUUAGUUGGGGGACGAAUCCGCACGAAUUGGAUAUUUUUGAGGAACAUAUCUAGAGAGAAUUGGUUACAUAAUGUGUGGUUGUUAAACAAGUAUCGGUUUUUUAGCAAGAUACGGAAUGCAUCGUCCAAUAUUCAAUAUGAUUCCACAAGAUUCUAAUUUCAUUCAAGUAACGGAUUCUAGCCAAGGUCAAGUGGACCGCCUGACCAAUUGAUUGGUGACAACUUGUUAUUGAGAAGUUUGGUAGAACGAUGUAAGUGGAUGACGAGGAUGAUUGAUCAUCAAAAUCUGAUGUUGCCAUUGCCAAGUGCAAAACUUACGAGGGCUAAGCUAAUUAUCUUGACUUGAAGAUUAAAGAUAUGGAAAAAUGAAUGAUAGUUUUGAUAUGGAUUAAUAAUUGUUACAUCUAUGUAAAAGCUAGAGUGUAUAUAUUUAAUUUUGAUUUCUUUACACUAAUGACAAUUUUUAAAAUUAGUAUUUUUAAUAACGCGCCUAAGCUGUUUCGGAAGCAAGGCGGCCAUAAAAACAUCUCUACUAAGUGGGAGUAGGCUUAAACUCGUCUAGACAUGGUCGAGGCAUGCCUGACACGUUCGACCGGCGUCUCUCUAUUUAAAGGUUGCCUAAAUAUGGAUUUUUAUCAUUUGAAAUCUGAAAGUUUUAGUUGCAAAGCCAUUGCAAUUUGAAGAAGACAACCUUGUUUAGAUUGAUUUCUUUUGCUAAUUUUUCAUUUUCUCUACUAUUUUUUGUUUUCUUUAACUUUUUUUCUCUUUAAACUGACCCACCGAUUGUUGUUUUUCAGCUGUCCAACAUAUUCUUUCAGUACAUUCUCUCAUCACAUUUCUAUAAAAGCAUCUUACAUCUUUAUAUUAUUUUUUCUUAAAAACGUGAUUGGCCAACAGGAAAAAAAAGAGAGCAUCUUUUUACUUUUAUUAUUCUUUUUGUAAUGUUAAAUAUUAAAUACUAGUUUCUUAAAUGUUAUAUUAUCCUUGUUUUUCUUACCAAAUAAUGUGUUUGCACUUUAACAUACACCCCAGUAUCUUACCGAAAGAACAAAUUCUACCUGUGAACAUAGAUUUUAUGGUGUGAAUUGAGUUUUAUAAAACAUGCAAGUUAUGUUAAAUUUCGUUUGGUAAUACCUUUUUUUUCUUUUUUUUGGUGAACAAACAGGCCACUUAGUAAAUAAAUAAAUUUUGAAUAGAAAUCCAUACUAUUAAGAAAAUAUAUAAACAAAUAAAUGAAACGGGUUGAGCCCCGUUUCUUUGGCGGGUCGGAACCGGAAAAAACAAACGGCUGCAAGGUUUUGGCUGGUUUUAUCCUCAUUCGCAUGGUGUUUCCCUCUUUCUGCUAACACUUCAGUGGUAGUCACAGUCCCCAGAAAAGGCGAAGAAGCUGCUCUUCCAAUGAACUUCAAAUCCUUCGCCGCCCACUCUUUGGCGCUCCAACCCAGGGAGGCCGCCAUGGCUGCGAUUCAAACCUCCCCCUACCGGGUAUACACACUCACACGAGAAAUAUAUCUGUAUUGGAUAUACACGCGCACACCAGCACUUAUUUUGAACUCACAGUUGAGUGUUCACUUUCUGUUUGGUUCCCGAGAAAAUGUUAGGAAAGACUAGAAACACUUGGAAGUUUCGGGAGGGCCUUAAAAUUGUUCUGCUUUCUGUUUGAGAUUUCGAGCUUCGUCUUCUUCCUACAUUUGUCCCAUGGUUUCUGGGAAAAGGAACGCAGGUUUCAACUGUUUGAAGAACGUUUUGGGUUGCUUUUUUAAAUUUGUGAUGAUUUUCAAAGUUGCGAUUUUUGCUUUUUUAAAUUUGUGGUGAAGUGAUGAUGUACUUGAAUUUGGAAUUUCAGUUUGAGUUUACUAAAGUGGAUUACAAUUCGGUUUCAUGUGUCUGCAUAAUGUUGCGAUUUUUAUCGGCAUGUGAGAGUAUGAGGCAUUGUUAGGCUUUUUUUAUUUUGGCGCAUCAGUUGCUUGAUGGAAUGUCACACAGAGACUUUCGAUGGCGUUCUCUAUGGUCGGAGUUUUGAGUGUUUUUUUUUCUUUAAUUCGGUACCAGAUUGAGAUAGAACAAAUAGAAAUUACGAAAUGUAUGCGGUCUCUUGUUUAUUGUAAGUGAAAUUCAAAAGUGAGAGAGCUGACAGAAUUGAUUUUUCAAGAUUUGGAAACUGGCAUUAUUUUUUUCUUUCUAUUUUACAAAGUGCAAAGGGAACUCUAUAAAUGCUCUUAACUUCUAAUUGGAAUUCGACAACCAAACCGAAUCACAAUGAUGGUAAUAACCAACUGUGAACAAAUUGUACCUUACUAUUAACAAAUAAAUUUAGAUUCCCUUCCACAGUUCUGAAUUGUUCAGUUUCUUUUCUUCUUCUGAACUUCUUUGGACAUAAUUUUUCUUGAAAUAAAUGGCUUGAUUCAUGAUUGAGUUCAAUUUCUCAUUUAGACACUAGAUUUGUAUCUCAUUUAACUCCAUCUUAAAUCUUCUUAAUAUUUUCUAAUAAACAGAACUGACAAAUUGUGUUGUACAUGGAUCAGGUUCUGUCGCCAAGAACUUGCUCAUCCUUUAGGAGCACAGCUUCUGUUGGCUUAUUUUAUUUCAGAGAUAGGUCUUCAGUUAAAGUAUUCUCCCUCUUUAACAUCGCACACUAUUCUACGUAUUCCAAUGACGAGUUUGGUUCGUCCUCAAAGCGAAGAUCUCGAGGACCUGUUAUGGCCGCAAAGAAAGUAGCUGAAGGUGUUUUUCUGUGUUCUGUGUUAUUAUUCUUCUUUCAAAUUUGGUGCUUGUAGCGUUGAUCUGUCACACGAUUUCUAGAGAAGUCCUUUUGAAGUAUUUGUAAUUUUUGUCUGAAAACCAAACGCAAUAUUCCUUUUAUUCUUCUCCUAAUUAUUUGGGUUGAUUGUUGUUGUUUAGGGAGAAAGCAAGAAGAGGGAAAAUACAAGCACACAGUUGAGCUGCCAAAGACAUCAUUUAGCAUGAGAGCGAACUCUUUAAUGCGAGAGCCUGAAAUCCAAAAAAUAUGGGAUGACAAUCAAGUGUUCAAAAGAGUUAUUGGUAAAAAUACAGGGGUGAGUUUCAUACCAUGCCUUAGAUUUAGGUAUCUGUGACCUGGCGUGACUUAUUGGCAGACUUUUGCUUUCUUGGUCAGGAAAAUUUCAUUCUUCACGAUGGUCCUCCAUAUGCCAAUGGAGAUCUUCACAUAGGCCAUGCUUUAAAUAAGAUUUUAAAGGAUUUUAUCAAUCGUUACAAGGUAUUUAUUCCUCCUGUACUUAUCCAUUCACUAUGAUAUUUUUACACAUAUUUGACAUUCAUUUUCAGCUGUGACUGUGAGUGAGGUAAUUUGGAUAGAAAUUACUUAGGAUUGACCAGUUUGGCUUGAUUUGUCUUUAUUGAGAGUGACCAAUCAAUCAAACAGUUGGACCACUCACAAACAAAGGUUUCCCUUGAAAACAACUUUGAAACUGAAAAGUGUUGGUAAACCAAGUUUUAAUUAAUUAAAAAGGAUUGUUCCAGAUCACCAAUUGCUUACUAGCUUUUCGUAUACAUGCUUGGCCAAUGUUAAUAUUCUAGCACAUAUCUUAUAUGUUCCAAAAUGAAUUGAACGCUUGCACGAGAAUUUUAGCUCUCAUUUGAAGAACAUGGUGAUAUCUUGAUUUCAUUUGUUUCUGCAGUUCUUUUAAGUAUCAGAAUAGGUAUAACAUUACAACUUUGGAUGCUGGUUAAGAAAAUAAAAAAGCAUGAGAGUUUCAUGCUGCCUUACAGUUAUUUAUUCAACUAACAUUUUGACAAACUCUUCUCAUAACAUACUAAAAUAAAUAAACAAAACAGCUUUAGUUACAUAAACCCAGACCCUAUCCUCUUUAUACAUGCAAACUAAGCUACAUUUGAUUGGCUGUCAAAGCUCAAUGACCCUUUCACAAAAAUAAGUAAAGUUCAUUCCUGUAUUCUUUUUCUGUGGGCAGCUUCUUCAAAAUUAUAAGGUUCAUUAUGUGCCUGGUUGGGAUUGUCAUGGCUUACCAAUUGAGUUGAAAGGCAAGUAAUGUUUCGAUCAUAUUCAUUUAUGUCUCAUGAAAACCACUUUCAGAGGGAAAAUAAGUUGAAGGGUUCUGUUGAAUCCUCUCAGUUUUCCUAAUGUAGCCUUAAUUGCUAGAAAUCAAGGUUUUUAUUUUUUUAAUUAAUUUUUUUUAUUGAGAAGUAGAAAUCCAGUUUGAGUACAUUAGGUUUAUUUUCCUGGGUGAAUGUGCUGAUUAACUUGGGCAUCAUUUCGAUCAUUUCAGUUCUGCAAUCACUUGAUCAAGCUGCUCGAAAGGAUCUUACACCAAUAAAGUUGAGAGCAAAGGCAGCUAAAUUUGCCAAGCAAACUGUUAAAACUCAGAUGGAAUCAUUUAAGGUAAAUACCCUUUAUCGUCUCUCACAUUAACUGUUUGUUUCUUGGCUCUAUAAGAGUGAUUCUUUGCAGAUUAUUUUCUUGACCCUUUAGGCUUAAUUUGCAAUUUAAUUAUGUUGAAUCCACUGCUUGGAAUAGUCUUGAACAUUGAUUGUUUCAUCUGAUUGCAGCGUUAUGGAGUGUGGGCAGACUGGAAUAAUCCUUACCUAACUCUUGAUCCAGAAUAUGAAGCUGCUCAGGUAGUUACAAUGUUCAUGAUUUAUUUGUAGACAAUUUAAAGUUUUAAACUGAAUGUAACCUCUAGAAGAUGGUCAACAACCUAUACUGUGGUAAAAAAAUGUCUACUAAUGGACUUCAGAUAGCAUUCUUUUUUGUCUAACAAACAUUAAAAGGAGAAAUUAAGAGGCCUAAACUUGCUCAUCAUUCUGUUUAAGGAUGUUGAUCUUGUAUGUGGUUGAGUCAGUACACGUUUGUCUCAUUUGUGUCGUAUCAUUUCCUAGAUAGAAGUAUUUGGCCAGAUGGUCCUUCAAGGUUUCAUCUACAGAGGCAGGAAACCAGUUCACUGGAGCCCCUCAUCACGAACUGCUCUUGCAGAGGCUGAGUUGGAGGUAAAUUUUUUUCUGCUUAAUGUAAGUAUAUAGAAAAUGUCACUGCUAUGACAUGUGCAGUUUGUUACUCUGUGGAGCUUCUGAACAGUUCUGAAUUCUGACCAGGCUUAGAUUGUGCUCUAUCUCAUGUUCACGUCUAUGUAUAAAUGUGCUUUAUUUAUCCAGAGAAAACGGUUCAUAUGGCCUUCAAGAUUUUCCAGUUAAUUAAUAUUAUAGACCUGGUACAGAAUCAUAGAUUCCUUCAUGUUUUCCUUUCAUAAUGUUUUUUCCAUCCUUCUGUAAAAUGCUGUCACUUUCUUGUGAUGCUUUUGUAAAAGGAUGUCAAUUUUCAUGUAUUAUCUCAUUUUUCUUUCAUACAUUGUAUUGGUAUAGUUCCUAUUUACUUGACUGAAACUUUUAUUUGCAGUAUCCAGAGGGGCAUGUUUCGAGAAGCAUAUAUGCCAUUUUCAAAUUGGUCAGUGCCUCUCCAACUUCAGGUGGCUUAUUAAAUGAGUAUUUCCCAGAUGUGUGCUUGGCCAUUUGGACAACAACUCCCUGGACUAUUCCAGCCAAUGCUGGUGAGUGCCUAUUCCAAAAAUCUAAAUUAUUGGUAGCAGCAUAUUACUUCAGUAUUUUUGUACAGUUUUUACUCGUUAUAUUAGUCUUUUUCGUUUGUAUGGAUCUCGAGGUGAUAACAGCAUACUAAACCAUAGUAUUUGGUUAAACUCAUCUAUGCUUAUAAUAUCCAUCUCUAUUCUUUACAAUAAGCUGUUUACUGAAGCUGCCUGUAGUUAUUCUGCUAAAAUUUUCUUCAGCCUAGAUUUUGCAAAAGAAACUUCUUGAUCUUAAGUUGUUAUUAGUCAGUCAUCUUUGUUCUUAAUCUGUUUUAUGCCUUGAAUAGAAAUAGUGUCAACUGUUUGUAAUUAAGCAUUAGCUUGAUUUGGAAAUUUGGAUGAACUGACUUGGAAGAGAAUGUACCAUUAAAAUCUUGGCCUCUUCUCACUUGUAAAUUGUAAUAUAACUUGCUACACAGUUAUUUAUAAUUAAACAUCAGCUUGAUUUGGAAAUUUGGAUGAACUGACUUUGAAAAGAUGUACCAUUAAAAUCUUUGCCUCUUCUCACUUGUAAUAUAACUUGGUACACAGUUAUGGAUUCUCAUCUUGCUGGUAAUUGGUGUUAAUUAAUAUGUCUUUUCCUACAUAAUUAAGCAUUCCCACUUGUAGAUAUGACAUAUGAGCACCUUCCUUGGUCAUUUAAGUAAUAAUUUUACUGUCCCUGUUUCAUUUCACAGCGGUGGCUGUGAAUGCCAAGCUUUUAUAUGCCAUCGUUGAAGUACAGUCACUCCCAGAAGAUUCUUUAUCUGAUGGAAAUAAAAAGGGAAGGUCUGGAAAUCUUUUGAAGGAAGAAAAGAAGCCUUUCCUUAUUGUUGCUUCAGAUCUUGUGCCAGCGUUAGAAUCAAAAUGGGGUGUGAAGCUUGUUGUUAGGAAAAGGGUGUCGGGUUCAGAUCUUGAAAACUGCAGGUUAUGGAUUUAAAAUGAUACCUACGAAGAGAUGUAUUUAUUUAACAUAAUUACCUCCCUUUUUUAAUCACGGAUGAAACUGAAAACUAUUGACUGAGGUGUGAUUUCUAAUUUUCAUUUCAGGUAUGUCCAUCCGGUUUUUAAUAGGGAAUGCCCCGUUGUCAUUGGAGGAGAUUAUAUUACAACAGAAUCAGGAACAGGACUGGUCCAUACAGCUCCUGGACAUGGCCAGGAGGAUUAUGUCACUGGCCAGAAGUACGGACUACCUAUGCUUUCUCCUGUAGAUGAUGAUGGAAGGUUCACUGAAGAAGCUGGAAAGUUUUGUGGGCUUGAUGUACUUGCUGAUGGUAAUAUUGCUGUCAUGAAAUACUUGGAUGAACAUUUAUCAAUUAUCAUGGAAGAAUCCUACCGUAAGUUCUUUCUUUCCCUUGAGCAUCAUAAGGGAACUUUCCUAUUAUUUUUUCUUUCGGGUUAUUGCAAGCUGAGUCAGUGACAAGCUCUUCCUUCUGUUAUGCAGAGCAUAAGUAUCCAUAUGACUGGAGAACAAAAAAACCCACAAUAUUUAGGGCAACUGAGCAAUGGUUUGCUUCGGUAGAAGGGUUUCGUGAGGCUGUUAUGGAUGCAAUUGGUCAUGUAAAAUGGAUUCCACCUAAGGUAUUCGUGGGGACGGCAUAAUGGGCUAGUCUUGUAUGACUUUAUUUAUUGUAUGCAUAAUAAGGUCAUUUUAGUUAUCUCGGGCUCUUACAUAGUUAUUGUGCCCUUUGCCAGCUUGUUCUUGCUGUUCAGUGUUGCUUCAUCAUCUAGCAGAAUUUGAAUCCUUGUUUUUGCAGUGUUUCCGAGUACUAUAUGACAUCUUCAACUGCAUUUCCUUCACUCAUACUUAGCACAAGUCCCAAUUCGCCUUCAUUAAACUUAAUAAGCGGUUCAGUUCAGCCUGCCUAGAUGGAAAAUGUGCUUGGAAUUGUGAAGUUUAUGUAUUAUGUUUUCCUAGGAGUUUUACUGAUUUAGCAGUUUUAGAUUUAGUCAUUAUUUAUAGGUCUGGAUUUACAUUAGUUUGAAUGCUAUUAUUCAGGCAGAAAACAGAAUUUCUGCAAUGACUUCCAGCCGCUCUGAUUGGUGUAUAUCGCGGCAAAGGACAUGGGGUGUUCCAAUUCCAGUCUUUUAUCAUGUGGAGUCAAGGGAACCUCUGAUGAAUGAAGAGACUAUUGAGCAUAUCAAGUGUAAGAGCCAGUUAGAUUUACACUUCCUCUUUCUGUCUACUUAUUUCCAAAUAUUAUACUUAUUUCCAAAUAUUAGUGUCUAAUUAAGAUCUUAUAGAAAUUAAUAUUUGCUUUAAUUUUGAGCAUCAGUUGUGAAUAUUUCCAACUGCAUAUGAGAUGAGGGUUUUCUCACUUUUUCUAAUGCAUGGUGUCUGUCUGGCACACACAGGUGUGUAUUUGUGUGCUUUUAGUACAUAUAAGAACUAAGAAGAUAGAUCAAUGAAUGAAUAUCCAAUAUACAAAGACUGCUCGAAUGAUUAGCCUACUUUUAAUUGUUUUAAAGAUGAAUGGUGUAUUUAAUAGGUUAAAUUUUGAUUCUUUCAGUCCUCUGUUUUUGCAGCGAUAAUAUCUGAAAAGGGUAGUGAUGCGUGGUGGUACAUGAAGGUCGAGGAUCUUCUCCCUGAUAAAUAUCGUGAUAAAGCAUCUGAUUAUGAAAAGGGGACUGAUACAAUGGAUGUAUGGUUUGAUUCAGGUAUUGAUGUAGUUUUUAUUUAACCUUGUCAGCUCUACCUUGUGCUGCUAUAUAAGAAUAUUCUCUAUUACUUGGUAAUGGCAUGAAUAUAGAUAGAUAAUUUCAUCAUUGAUGAUUUUCCCUUACAGAAGGGUAGUCUGGAAAUAUCUCAUUUUGCAUCUCAAUCCAUUUGUAUCUUCGUGGUCAUUUUUAUCACAUUGAUAUAUGCAACUUCACUUGUUAGGUUGAAACAUAUAGUGGUUCGUUGUUGGUUCUUUUGUAUAGUUGCCUUGCCUAUACCAGAACAUAAUUUUUUCUCGGUCAAAUAUUCCAGAACAUAAUUGAACUUUGUCUUUUCGCUUACCAUAUUAUUUAUUGGGAUCAGUCGGUGUUUACUACUUUGGAUGCGUGUACAUAACUGCAUCUAACCUUUUCAGUUCUGUAAUUUAAUCUUUUAUGUUUCUAUACAUGUAUUUAAGUAAAUGGUUAAGUUCUAUUUCAGGCUCUUCUUGGGCUGCAGUGUUGGGGAAAAGAAAUAGCCAUAGUCUUCCUGCAGAUUUGUACCUUGAGGGUAUGGAUCAGCAUCGUGGGUGGUUCCAAAGUUCUUUGCUAACAAGUGUUGCUACUAAAGGUAAUGAGAAUCUGGACAUGUUCAUUUAUCCUCACUAUGCAUUAUAACAUUGAAACUGGUUUUCUUAAUAAUAAUUAAUAACCAAUAAAACAGAGGGUUGAUUUUUAUUUUUUAAAUUUUAUUUUGUGUAAAUAGCACAUUUUUGCAUUACUCCUCGUGUUUGAAAUGUGAUUAAUUUUGGGGAGGUGUCAUAUACACAUUUUCGAUGGAAGUCUUCUUCUUUAUUUAAGACAAUUAAACAUCCUGUGGUUCCCUUCACCCAUACCUGAUGUAGGAUAAAUAUGUUUAAAAAGGCCGCAUUAAUCCUUCCAUUGCAUUAUCUUCAUACCCUUGACUAUGAGUAUUGGCAUCAUAGCUUAAUAAAAAUAGUACAUUGAGAAUGCAAACCAGACUUAGAUUGGUUGCCAGGUAAGAUCUUUGGAAUUAAAUCUUGACCGCUGCAUUGUAGUGAUUAUAAUGUAGUCUAGUCUCUAACUACAGUAGUUGAACGCUGAGGGAAAUGGUAUGUAAUUUAAAUAGUUUCAGCAAUGCUAGUAUAUAAUUGUUUAUGUCCAGGUGUUCAUUCUUCUGAUUUUAAGCCACAGAGGCUAUUUUCAUUUUAGAGAGAAGUAUUUGUUUCAAACAGUGACACUGCUUGAAUCUGUUACUUUGCUUUGAUACAGGAAAGGCUCCAUAUUCCAGUGUUAUAACACAUGGAUUUGUAUUGGAUGAGAAAGGUUUGAAAAUGAGCAAAUCUUUGGGUAAUGUAGUAGAUCCACGGACUGUGAUUGAAGGAGGGAAGAACCAAAAGGUAAGUAAUUGUUGUGAAGUAAAUUUAAACCUACUCAAUUACCAUCUGAAUCAAUCUUCAACAGUAUCUGCAUACUAAAGUCUUCAUUUCUCUGCUGGCAGGAUGGCUAUGGAGCGGAUGUCCUGCGUCUUUGGGUUUCUAGUGUAGAUUAUACAGGCGAUGUUACAAUCGGCCCUCAAAUUCUCCGUCAAAUGUCAGAUAUUUAUAGGAAGACGCGAGGAACAUUGAGAUACCUUUUGGGAAAUCUUCAUGAUUGGAAUGUAUGUUCAACUUUCACAAUCAGUGCUUUUGAAUUCAGAUGUCUGACCCUAUAAAAAAUUCUACAUGUUUAGUCAUCUUAAGAAUCCCAGCUUUACUACCUCUUGCUGGAUAACUAUCUCUUAAUCCCAAAUACACAGAUUGGUGCACAUGCUCACAAAGGUAUAAAAUAUCGAUGAUAUCGGAAAUAUCGGUAGUCCAAAAACACGGAAAUUUUGAUGGAAAUAUCGGGAUAUUAUCGAUAUCGAUAAUAAUUGAAUAAAAACCACGGAAAUUGUAAGAAAAACUUGGAAAUUUUUAUUGAAACUUUGCAGGAUGUUUAUUUAGUCAAUUAUCUAUUAGUUUAUCACAAAAAAUUGGAAGGAAAUGCAUUGCAUGAUGGAUUUAACUGAUUUAAGUUGAUUAUAUAGCGAGCUGGCAAACAUUGUGAGUGUAGAAAAUAUGUAGUAAUUAAUGAAAGAAGUUUAAACACACCAUAAUCAUUUAUAUAUAAUGAAUUAGUACAAUAUUUUACACUUUAUACAUUGCAUGGUAAGAUACAUAAGUGACUUAGUACCACAUAGAGUUCCUAUCAAGGUCUAAAAUAUCGAUGAUAUCGGAAAUGUCGGUAGUCCAAAAACACGGAAAUUUCGAUGGAAAUAUCGGGAUAAUAUCGAUAUUUUAAACCUUGCUCACAACUCAUGUAUAAAACCUGUUUAUUGCUUCUUUUUGUAAGUCUAUGCUGCAAGUGACAAUGCUGUUUCAGGCAGUUUUAUCUCUUGGUCUGUUGUUUUCACUUAUACAUAACUACAUCAUUUUGGCAGGCUGAUAGUGCUAUCUCUUACCACGAUCUUCCCAUGAUUGAUCAGUACGCACUGUUUCAGCUUGAAAUUUUUGUGAAAAACAGUAAAGAGUGCUACGAAAACUAUCAGUUCUUUAAGAUAUUUCAGGUGAACUUUCUCUUAAGCCUUUUGAUUUGAUUUAGUUAUGUUUCUGUUUAAAGUGUAUAGUUUUAUGGUCAAUUAAAUGAUAGCAUUGCAUGUGAGGCUUUGUUUCUCGAAAUGGCUCCUAGAAAUAUAUGUUCACGGAUGUAGCAACUUUGGAUUAUCUUUCGGUUGCCAUUAUGGCUGACCAAAGUUGAGUACUUUGUACAUAAACCAAAUAAUAGUUGAAGAAAAGAGUGUAAAUGUAUGGUGGGUCUUACAUCCCCUUUGAAAUAAAUCUUACCAUUGUUGUUUUCAUACUGCGAUGGCAAUCUGAGCCAUUGUAAAAAUCAUUUAAAAAUGCAUAGCAAUAGUUGCCAUUAGUUGGUACUGAAUCCUGAUUGUAUGUCAACUUAGCCCCCUUAAUUUAGCUGGAAUUCCAUGCAACUAUCUAAUUAGCUUUCUUCAUAUUCUCAGAUCAUACAGCGGUUUGUUGUCGUUGACCUGUCAAAUUUCUAUUUUGAUGUCGCCAAAGAUCGGCUUUAUGUUGGGUAAUUCACCUCCUGCUCUAUCUACCAGUUUCUAGGCAUCUGCAUAACUCUUGUACCUUCCAUUGAUCUGUCACCCUCGUGAUGUUCAUAUGCUUUUACAUUGCAAGUCUUCAUUUUCUAGAAUUAGAGAUGAAGCAUAGUUUAUCAUUUCAGGGGUACAAGUAGUUUUACUAGAAGAAGUUGUCAAACAGUUCUUGCAGCACUUCUCCUCUCUGUAGUGAGAGUGAUUGCUCCGAUAUUACCUCAUUUGGCUGAAGAUGUAUGGCAAAACCUUCCGUUCCAGUACACUGACGAUGAUGGCUCUGCUGCCAAAUUUGUUUUUGAAUCAAGAUGGCCAGCUUUGAACAACACAUGGCUCUCUCUUUCGAAAGAGGAAACUAAUUUCUGGGAAAAGGUUCUUGAGGUAAUCACCAUUCUGUUUAAUGUUCUUCACACAUUAGUACAAUUUGGGGUUUGUGCAGUCCAUGUCCUUGUGACAUAUUACAACUGAGUUGUUUAAGGGAAAACCUUGGAAAAUUUAAACUCCAGUUUCUUAUUGGUUGUCAGUAAAAAAAUUAACGAUCUCAUAAACUUGAUGCUCUUGAAUCUCAUCGUCUAUUGUUCCUCUCUAAGCCAAAAUUAACGAUAACAUACACUUGAUGCUCUUGGUUGUCUGGUUUUGACAUUUCGUUCUUGUUUACUUUCUUUUCCUGACAGGUUUUAUUCACCUGUAAAAUAAUCAGAUAAAUCUAGAUUCUAAUGUUAGAAGUGCUCUUAGAACAAUGAAAGAAAUGCCACGGUUGAUAUCUGUCUCUGAUGUAUUUCACUUGUUUCUAAUGCGUAUGCACUUGUGAGCAGUUGAGAACUGAGGUGAACAAAGUCCUGGAGGUUGCUCGUACGGAAAAGCUAAUUGGCUCUAGUUUAGAUGCCAAGGUCUACCUUCACACUUCGGAUUCCGGUCUGGCCUCUAGAUUAGGUGAAAUGUCUGAGGCCAACAACGACGCAGACACACUGCAUCGCAUAUUCAUAACAUCUCAGGUAAGUUCAAAUUCCUACUCGCUGGUUCACCUGGUAGCUAAACAGACAUGAUCCGCCCUCUGAUCACUAUUUACAUUUGUUUAUAUGAAUGCAGGCAGAGGUUCUUCCUUCGUUGGAAGAUGAGCUGAUUGCGAACAUACCUCACAAAGGAGAAUACCUCAUCGAAGAAAACGUCAAAGUCUGGAUCGGAGUGUCUCGUGCCGAGGGCUUAAAGUGCGAAAGAUGCUGGAAUUAUUCACCUCAAGUUGGUUCCUUUCCAGAGCACAGCACGCUUUGCGGCCGCUGCUAUAAUGUGGUAAAUGUUCAACAAUCUCCAUCUCCAGCUGUAGCUGUGGUCAGUUGAGAUUCCGUCAGUUCGACAUUUGCUCCGAUUCCCUUCCUUUCUGGGUUGAGCAGACAAGCGUAGAGCAUAUUGCUUAGAGCUGCAUUUGUACAGACUACAGAGCAUCAUUGAAGGUUUUGACGAAUAUUUCAAUCAAUACAAUAAUCCAAGUGUUGUACGGAAAAUCCCUCCAUUUUUUAGGAAACUACAAGGUCCAACUACAAUGGUACUUUAAUGCAGGAUCUAACCGUUGAUUUUUCGGACCAAUCACAAGUAUUAUAUUGACAGUGAAGAGCACGCCGAGAGUUUAACCGGACAAGGACUGGGAUUGGGUUUUCCUUUUUUCGGGAACUAACCCCAAUCUAAGUUGGGUCAAACUAGGUGACUGAUUAAUUAGCCUUCUAAAAUACUAGAACAUACGUGUCACGAUCUUAAAGGUCAACUGAAGUCAACAAUCGAGGCAUUUUCGUUAUUUUCCACCUUUGAGAAUUAAAUUAUAUUAAAAUCAGGAACGGUAGUAACAUCUACUCUUUUGAGAAGGAAAAUGCUAGAAAGACCAUAUUUUUAUACCAAAUUUGUGUAUCAUCUGACGUGGUAAAUGAUGUGUAUAUAUAUGCCACGUUAAUUAAUAAAUUUUUCUGACUGGAUGUCGACUGUACACAUCACUUACCUCAAGAGAUAUUGCGGGAAUAUAGUAAAUAUGUGGUCUUCCUAGCCGUGACAAGCUUCAGUUUUAUAAUGAAUUUUAUCAGUCCACGUAAGACUGAAUCUGGGACGCACCUUGUAAUGUCAUAAGAUAGUUGUCUAAAAAUAAACAGUACAUUUCUUUGCAAAGGAUCACCAUCUCAAGUUGGUUCCUUUCCAGAGCACAGCACGCUUUGCAGCCGCUGCUAUAAUAUAUGGUUGAUGUUCAACAAUCUCCAUCUCCAGCUGUAGCUGCGGUCAGUCGAGAUUCCGUCGGUUCGACAUUUGCUCCGAUUUGUUUCUGGGUUGAGCAGACUAGUGGCUUUUGUACAGCACAUUGCUUAGAGCUGCAUUUGUACAGAGCAUCAAUUGAAGAUUUUGACGAAUAUUUCAACCAAUACAAUAAUCCAAGUGUUGUACAUAGGGUCCAACUAGAAUGGUACGCUACGUUCCAUGCAAGAUUUGACCCGUCAGAUCUCUAUAUGCAAAAUCUAACCGUUAAUUUCUCGAACCAACAGUGGUACAUACCAUGAAUUCUUUGUUUUACUGUGUAAUGCAAAGGGACAUCGAAUCUAUCAACCUAACAUUGCAUAACAUUCAGGGAGUCAACCCUAUAGGAAAACUGAAGACAGUACUUUCCAUGGAUCAUCAAUGCAAGACAACCGGGUGGCCAUGUAGCAACCCUAAACCCUACAGGGUAAAACUGCCUGAGUCGAUGACCUAACGUUGAACAACGUUCAUGGAAGCAACCCUAGUGGGCGGAGGAACAAGGCUUAUCACAGGUGGUCCGAGCCCUCAACUCAUUUCUCAAAAUGUAAGACAUUCGGGUACACUCGCAACGGAGUCUUAUUGAUAAGCUGGUGAAAUCAAGAUAAAAUUGCAUAAAUAUGCUGCACAAGCCACUCAAGUGAAUACCUAAUUUACAGGGGUUAAACCCUAGGACAUGGAGGAAGUGAGAGACCAGAGUUAAACGGGAAGUGGUGGACGACUAACAGGGAACCCUAGCACUUGCUGGAGUAAAACAGUUUAUGUUACAAACAAACAGAGAUCAAAUGUUCUUCCAAGCCCCCGCGGAUUUGGCAAAUUCUUCCAGUAAGAUCUUUGAGCCUGAAGUCGGUGAGGGUUGUUGUGGAAUAAAUUCAGAAUCGUCCAAAUCCUGGGAGUGAAUGGGUAUAAUGUAAGAACACAAACCAAGUCAUUAUGCUUUGAACCGAAAAACAAUAAUUCAGAUAUUCAGAAGGAUAGGAUCCAGUUGACGGUGAUAGCCCUUACCUGUGUCUGUAUUUGCUGAUGUGGUUGCUGAUCUUGGGCAAUUGUGCAGGCUUGCGGUUGCGACAUUCUAUAGUAGGGCUCUUUGAGAUCAAGUUUACAAGAAGACUGCUGAAUUAUUCCUCCUAGCUCAGCCCCAGGGCCCCACAUUUUAGCUGAAGGUGAGGCCAUAACUCGUUAGAAAACCAGAAAAAGAAAUCUGAAGCCAAAACAAGUAUUAUAUUAGACACUGACCUGCCAAAGUGAGAUAUAUUGUGUAACUCUGAGAAUUGUGGGCAACCAUGUGGAGUCGGCCAGUGAUUUCUUGUCCUGCCAUCACAUAAAUUGGCUGAGAGAGAACGCAGCGUAAUUGGUACCAAUGGGUUGUUGGUGCACCAGGCGCGGUGGUAAGCCACCUUUGUACGGUACUGUAAAUAAGCAAUGUGAAAGCAGUUAUGAGACCCACAAAUUUGCAUCAUAAAUGAAAUGCAGAAGAUUAUAUUGAUUACACAAAUCAUUGAUUCAGAUGAUUACCUCCCAUCAAACAAGACAUCGAACCAGCAUGCUAACCCAUGCACUCUAGUGCCUACAGCAGCUGUAAACCGUAAAGGUAUGUCGAUUUCAUACAAGUCCUCUUCGCUUGUUUUGGUAAAGUCAAUCACAUGAGACAUGGAAGGAGCCACCAGUAAUCUUGGAUCAAAGGCAUCUACCACAGGCUGUACGAGAAUAAAACAGAAUAAUUCAGCACAUCAUCAAGUCCUAGCAACCAAAACAACCACCAAUAAAAUGUCUUGCACAGAUAAACUUUUGGAUCCUGGAAUUUUUAAAUAAUCACUCACCAAGGAAAUUCAGCCAUUUCGGUCUGAGGGAUUUGCAAAAAGCCCUUGGAAAGUUAUUGAUGUUGCAUAUGUCCACUUAUUUUUGUUGUUUCAUUUAAGAGAUGCAUAAACCCCCCUUAGCUCAAAGGCCUAGGCAAGUCAAUAAAAGUUGCUGGGUUCUUACAAAACCAUACCAAUCAACUAAGGGAAUUAGAUUCUUAAAUAGUGAUGGCAGAGGGUACGUAGCUAUCCCUUAUUUCACUAGACCAUGAAAAGUGAAGAGCGCGCCAAGAGUUUACCAAGAACAGGAUGAAUGGGAGAUGCACAGAGUGACAAAUCAAGUUUGAUUAGGUUUAUCGUCAAGCGUAAUUUCAUGGAAUAGGAAAUAGGAAGAAUCCAGGAAAUCCUAAAACUAAAAUUCCAUUUAACAAGUUAAAAAAAAAAGAUAGUUUAAUUAUUCAAGUUCUUAUUUAACCUACACAUGUAAACUAUGGUUGCAAAACACAGCAAUAACGUACAAGUUUUGCAAUACUUUUAAGUUAUGUGUAAGAAAUAUAUAGACCUGUGAAAAAUAUCCCUUGAAUGCAGAUCCAUACAACGGUUGCAAAUCAACUCCAUAAUAAUUUUGUUGCUGCCAGAAGAGGGCCUGUAUAUUUACAAACAAGAACAUUAAUCUACAUCAAAUAAGAGAGGAAAUUGAUUGCACUACACGUUUAUAACAGCAAUCUAAUAGAACUUUUAGAUCAGCUGCAUUGUGCAUGGCUUGUAGGUUACAAGUUUCUGAAUGGUUAUCCAUGCAUAAUGUCCUUCCUUAUAUAAAUUAACGAAAAAUGAUGACGACAUACGCACCUUAUUUGCUAUUUCAACAAACAAAUAUUCAUCACUGAAAGGUGCCAUGUGAAUCCUGCGGAAGUAAUCAACUUGAAUUGAUGAGAAAAAUAAAAGUAACAGAUAUAACGAUUUUGAAUAGGUACUAAUAGUAAUCAAUAUACACUAGGACCACAAGCAAAUGAAAUGAAAGAUCUAACAUAGCAAUAUAGCAUCACCGAACAACCCAAGAGAAAAAUAACGUGGCCAGGCAACAUGUAGGUAAUAUGAUAUCGAAUAUUUUAUCAUGACUAGUAACUAACAUUACCUAACUAAUCCUGAUCUGAACUAAAAUAAUUUUACUGCUGGGAACCCACUUCUUGUCUAAAAAAAAGGUAAAUAUCCCACAGCUGACAUCUUUUUUUUUUUUUGUUAACCUAGAGUUGAUAUUUUCAAAGAGUGUCCCAUGAUACAAGUAAAAUAACGUAAACAAGAGAUACCAGAAAACAAAACAUAGAAGAAAUUCAAAGGUUAAAUUACCUUCCCAAUGUGGGGAACAUUUUCCCAUUUGGUUGAAGAAACCGAUCUCUUGCAAUCACAUAGGUUUCCAGCAUUCUUUCAUUAAUUAACAAAGUGCCUAAAGCCAUGACAAAGAAAAGUUUACAUUAGGACUAGUUUCAGACUAUCAGCGGAGCAGAUACAUCAAGAAAAGCAGGGCAACAUCCAUUUGAAUGUCUAUAGCAAAUACAUAUAGAGGCUUACCCAUUGGCUCUGAGAUCAGGAUAUCUGCUUUCUCUGGCAAUUCAACCUCCUCAAUUUUACCUUUGAUUACCUACAUGUAGAUGACAUAUGUUCCCAUUAGAGAACAGGAAUGAAGAAAAAAAGGACAAAAGAUUCAGAAAUGACAUCAUUAGUCUCACAGUUAUCCUUUCACCCAGUGAAGGGUUCCCUGCAAUUAGCUUGCGUGCAUAUUCUGCCAUUUCAGAUGCUUCCACAGCAUAAACAUGUUUAGCACCAGCCUAUAUUGGGAAGAAAAGAAAUAGAAGAUCGAGAAGAGGUAUGCCAAAACAAAAUAUGCAAGAUUACUAUACACAAACUUAAUUGAUCAAAGAGCUGAGUGUACCUGAGCAGCAAAUAAUGACAAAAUACCACUGCCAGCACCAACAUCAACAACCACACGACCAUUAAAAUCCACACGAUUUUCUAUGACUGCAGCAUAAUAGGUUCCUGAAGUAGAUAACCAGGGCACUUACUAACAUAUUCAACAUCAACUCAUAGGAUAUUUUUAGUGAAACUAAUAAAAUUUAGUGUAAAUACUAAAUUUACAAUAUGGAUUCUGAAGCUCAAGAAUACAUCUCAACUCCAAAACAAAAGAAACGUGAAGUUGAAAAUGAACAAGAAUAUAGUUAGUGAACUAACCUGUCCUAACAUAAUCCUGUAACAUGUUCUGUUGAUGUAGCAAUUGUCCGUAGUAAUGGAAAUACAUUUUAGCAGAAGACGGCUCUAUUUUGUCGUCAAACUUGCUUUUGGUAGAUGAUAGUUCUCCAUUUGGUAACUUUUGUCCUGCAAGAGUGCACAAAAACGGAUUAAUUGACAAGAAAUGAACGCCGCGCGACAAGAAGCAAGACAGUCAAAGUAUAGGAGUAUUUGCAUGGAAGAACUCAUAAGACACAAUCAUGUCACAACAGAAUAGCUAUGUUCUAGAUGUGCAAUGAUAUUCAUCUAGUACUGCUUCGGUCAAUUCAUCCACAAACAGAAGAAAUACGUCAAAAUAGUCAUAAGUAAACUUUCGGAACAGAACCUUGAUCAACAAGGUCCUUCUUCCAUUGCUCAAAUGCAUGAUGGAAGGCUGCACUCUCCUCCUCGUUAUUAAAACGAAUAGUGACUCCCCUUGAAUACGAUUUCUGGUUCAAAAGAAGUAAUGUUACAAGAAACAAACAUCCGACAGAUAUUGAAUGAAUCGUAUAAAAAUGUUGCGCACAAAGGUACAAACAACGAACAAUGUUGCAUGAAAAAGUACAAUCAACGUGAAAAUCCACUGUGAUACAUAUUUGGCACUGCAAAAGUUUGCAAAGUAAAAUCAUCAAAAUGCAAACGCGUAAAGAUAAACUAUUUCGGUUACCUCUUUGUCGGUAUCAGAACCUUCCGUUAUGCAAACCGACUGCACCGGACCUAACUUGAAUAGCUGCGGACGGAAGAAACACAUACCAAAAUCAAACAACAAACUUACAACAUUGUAUCAAAUAUUAUACUACCGACAAAAAUCAGCAUAUUCAUAUAUCUAUGUAUAAUUAAAUUUUUUAAGCAGUAAAGCCAGAGUAAACUGUUCUCAACUAGAUAUUUUAUUUUCCUUCACUUUCUCGGCAACCAAACAAAGCUGAAUACUUCUUAACUUAAAAAGACUAAACUGAAACAGCAUACUCCAAAUAAAAGGCAAACCUUAGCAGUUCGGAGAUCGACAUUGAGGCGGGCAUCGGACUCAGCCUCCUGCUGAAACCGGAGCUCUGCAACUCCGUCUUCGGCGCUGAACCGAGCCACCGCCGGUGCCAGAGUAAAAGAAGACGACGACGAAGCGAGCUCGGAGGCGGAUGCCAAUGCAAACUCCUGCCGCUUCUUCGCUGCUUCUGCCGCAGAGCCCUCCAUUAUCGCCUUCUCCAACCUCAAUCGGGAUAUUUACUAAAUUAAAAAAUCAAAAGAAUAAAGGAAAAAAAAAAGGAAAAAGAAAAAGCAGCGACUGAUUAUUCGAAGUCAGUGGAGGAGUGAGAAAAUUAGGGUUUGGUUAGAGAGAGAAAGUGAAGGAGGGAAAGGGUUGGAGAAUUUGGAGAGCCGCCAGAGAACGAAACAAACAAGAGAGUUGGGAUUUUAUAGUGAGAGAGCGAGCUUUGAGGAGAGUUGAGUUCACACAUUCCUCAGAGAAAGGUUCCAACGUGGACAUGUGCUGACGUGUCCAUUGUGUUGGCGGUGAGUUGAGAAUCCGGAUUCUGGUCAGAUUUUUUUUAUGAAGAUUUCGGAAGUUUGUAAAUUGUAUUCAUUUAUCAUAAAUUGUGUGAUUAUAAAUUAUAUUUUAUUUAAAAUUAAAUACAAAUACUAUCUUAUAAAACUAGUAGUACGAUGUAAAUGAACAUAAUUUACGAAUCUCGAAAAAAAAAUUCGGAGAGGAGAGAAUUCUGUUACUGCGAUUGCUGGAUUCGGUUGUGGGACCCAGGGGGAAGCGGAAGGGGUUUCCUUGCUUGUUCGGGGAGUUGAAAUUUUAAAGGUAGUGGGGUUUUGGGUGUGUUAACGGUUUGUUUGGCCCAAAUUUAACAGCUCGCAUGCUUUUGCUUUUGAGAUCUUCUUUUGCUACUGGGAUGUUCAUGGGCUGGACUGGACCCACCACUACUAACUUGUAAAAUACACUGUGUUGGGCUGGGUCAGGAAUUUUAGCCCAAAAACUUAGGUAAAUUUUAAAUAAGAAUUGUCGUUAGAUUCUUAAUAAAAAAAAACCCACGAUUUUAAAUCAAUGAAAUAGCUACAUUGGUGUAGGGGUGGGCAAACGGGUCCUGGACCCGCGGGUCGGGACGGGUUCAAGCGGAUCGGGGCGGGUACGGGACGGGUCUAAAUAUUUUGGAGAAGAAAUGGGGCGGGGCGGGGCAGGGUGGAGGAAAUGACGGGGCAGGACGGGUCUAAAAAUCAGGAAAAACGGGGGCUCGGCCCGAACCGUUUCUACCGUUGGAUUAUUGGAUUGGAUUUAAUCACACCUCCACUUCACCGUUUGAUUGGAUCUUUUCUGAGUCAGACUUCUCUCUUGUCUCUCCCAUUCAUUCACGAAAGCCAUCACAAUUCACCGACUCGACACGAAAGCCUUGAGAUUGUCAAACAAAAUUCAUCACCAUCUCAUCUUCUUCCAAUUCACUGUCUUCGAUUCCCCCUGUCCGUCUUCCAACUCUUCAAAAAAAAUCAAAAUUCAUCACCAUCUCAUCUUCUUCCAAAUUGAAAUCGAGAUUGUCGAACUCUACAGUCCCAAGCAAAGAGGAUGAAGAUCCUCAACAUCAGCGCCUCGAGAUUGUCAAACACCACCAUCGUCAGCGCCAAGCGAAUCGAAAUCGACCACCAUGCCCUUUGUUCUUAGUCUUCCAGUGUCUCCUCUCAGAUCUUAAUUUUCUGCAAGAUUUGGCAUUUGGCCCAUCUGGGUUUUCAUUAAUCUGCAGGUAUGGUGGGAAAUCUGAGAUGGUUUUUUUUUUUUUAAUUUGUUGUGGAGUUUAGACUUUAGAGCAUCUGGGUUUUCAUUGAAAAUGCCCUUUGUUUUUUUUUGUUUUUGUUUUUUGUUUUUUUGUUGUGGGUUCUAAGAGAAUUUGGGUUUUCAUUGAACAUACCCUUUGUAUUUUAUGAAUUCGUUUGUUCUGAGAGCAGUUCGGCUUGAGCCAUCUUGAUUUUUUAAUUAGUGGAUAAAACCAUUGGGUUUCUUGGCAUGGAUUAUCGUAGUGGAUGCUUCAUUGUUGUGGAUAUACUGUUCGUCUUCAGUACUUUUAGCUUUGAAUUGUUUGAUGGCAGCUAGAAAUGCAUCGUCUCCUCUGAUUUUAAAGCCAUUGCUAAUCCGCCACCGACGAGCAUGCAACGUUUGAAGGUUACCCUUAGGACCCGUGGGGACCCGUAGGAAUCGGCCCGUUUUAAAAGGGCCGGGUUAGGUCCGGAUCCUAUUUUGAAAAAUCCAAAACCCGUCCCGCCCCGCCCCGUUUUAUUUACAAACGGGUUCGGUCCGGUUCCUUCAAUUUUGGGCCCAACCCGGCCCGUGCCCACCCCUACGUUGGUGUUUGUUGAGAGCAUUGGAUAUUGUCAUUUAAUUUUGAGUGAAAUGCUCAUAUUAUAACAUGGUAUCAAAAUAAAUUAUUAUUAUAUGAGACUCAACGUGUGUCACAAAAGAAAAAUUAAAGUUGAAUGUAUGAUGAGAGUAUCCCAGAAAAAGCAUGUUGAGCAUUCUCUAGUAACUAGAAAAAAAGAUUGUUUCAACGAUGACAUGUGGACCAUUUCCAAUGUAGAUGUUAAAUUUAGUUUUUACAGCUAAUGGGACAAAAUAACAUUUUAUAAAGUCUCAUAUUCUAACUGAGAAGUUAAAUUAUAAUGUUUUUUGGUUAUUUAUAAAUUUAAGUGGGUCAGAAUUUAAUAAUAAAAUAAUCAAUAAGUGAAAGAAAAAUGAUAAAAACUAUGUGGGCCAACAUUAAAAUAAAACAAAAGAACAUUUUUACAUUGCCUUCAAAUUUGGCUGCAAAGUGGAAAAUAUCAAUUCAUUUAGGAUUUUGACAUCUCCUCUUAAACUAGAAAACCACAUUUUUUGUCAAAAUAAUCCCGUAAGAUUUUUUACAUAUCCUUUGGAAAUACUCUUAUGCAAUUAAAAUGUGUUAAUCACAA
Molecule: long non-coding RNA, 78974 nt
Filed under: Malus domestica (apple)
Lineage: Eukaryota; Viridiplantae; Streptophyta; Magnoliopsida; Rosales; Rosaceae
Description: long non-coding RNA (MDOM_LNC011970)
Rfam family: U2 spliceosomal RNA (bases 53008-53201)
Source: RNAcentral